UGAGCUUGAAUCACUCACUGCAUCUGAGUUACAGCUGGCUUCUUGAGCUACUCUGUUUUCCUCUGUGUUCCUUUUCUGAAGGGCAUCGUGUGAAAGCACUGCAGUCUAUAUGCCAGCAAACGUGGAAAUAAUAGUACUAGUUAAUAAUCCUUGUGUGUGUGAGACUGGAUAUGUUUGUGAUGAGCAACCGAUAGACUUGAGCCGAAGUAAUCAGAACUUCAGGAUCAGUUAGUCUCGAAAACUUUUGAUUGUAAAUGACAUGUAGUUGUUCUAAGUAAUGACUUAUAAUUCGGACAUUACAACCUUAGAGGGUGCUUGGAUACGUUUUAGUCUCAUGACUAAAAGUAGUGGAACUAAAACUUGCUAGCCUCACCCAUGCUUGAAUACAAAUACUAAAUAGACUAAAAUGUGUUAAUGAGCAUUUAUUAUCCUCCAAACUCUCCAAUCCCGAACUCGCAUGUGUUAAAGGAGAGGAGUUAAAUGAGGAGAGAGAGGACUAAUCCAUAUUUUAGUAGGGUUUCCCUGACUAAAAUUUUUUAGUCUCAAGACUAGUUCUAGCCUCUCUUUAGUCAGGGUGAUUGGAAUUUUAGCCUCUAAAAGAGACUAGUUUUAGUCAGACUGAAUGUACAACCGGAGAUCAUCAACUCAUCAACCGGAGGCCAACCCUCCCUCUCGCAUCACACCCCUUGCGGCCGACACGAGAGGCGCCAACCCUAGCCACCAGCCGCCCCGACUCCUCCCCUCCGUCGCCGCCCGGGGCGGCGCCGGGCAAAGCCCGUGCGAUUGACGGCGGCGGUGGAGGGCUGUUCCUCCUUCUCCCGGGUUGAACCGCGGGGAGGGCACUGGAUCCGCGGGGGAGCGGCCUUUCCCUCGGUCCAUGGUGGCGUGGUGGCUCCCGGCGGCGGCGUUUGUGGUGGCGUGGGUGGAGAUCGGCCAGAGGAUGGGGGUGGGGUUGGGUGUGGCCAAUGGCGGCAGCCUGUUUGUCAGCGACGCCGACCAACAGGAGAUGAAUACUGAAGAUCGAAGGACAGGCGACAACAGGUGAAGGCACUGUAGGAAAACCCUAUAUGACGCAUUUUGCGUCACAUUAUUGACCUUUCGCGGUCGCGAUCGAGUGUUUGAGAUGGGCCGGCCCGUUAAUGCGUUCCUCGUUGCCGGUUUGGGACACUUCUCGAAGGUUCCAGCGGUCUUUUCCGGUUUACGGAAUCUUCCAGAAGGUUCCUAAGCCGGGGUCUUUUAUUUUAUUUUUGUUUUCUUUUCCUUUUUCGUUUUUCAUUUUUUUCUGUUUCUUUUUUCUUUUUCUGUUCUUUUUGUUUCCUUUUUCAGUUUCCAAUUUUUCAAUGAACUCAGCAUUUCAUAAUUUGUUUGGAAUUUCAAAUUUAGCUCAAAAUUUCAAACAAUCUUCGGAAAUUUAUUUUGAUCAUGUUCUCUAAAUAAAUGAUAAACAAUUCAAAAAAUGUUCAGAUUUCCAAAUUUUUGUUCACAUUUUGAAAACUUGUUUCUAUUAAUUCAAAAAAUGUUCGUGUUUCAAAACUUGUUCGCAUUUUUAAAAAUGUUUGGAUUUAAAAAAACACAUUUUGAAAUCUUGUUCUAUUAAUUCAAAAAAUGUUCAAGUUUCAAAACUUGUUCGCAUUUUCAAAAAAUGUUCAGAUUUUCAAAUUUUUGUUCACAUUUGAAAUCUUGUUUCCAUUAAUUCAAAAAAUGUUCAAGUUUCAAAACUUGUUCCCAUUUUCAAAUAAUGUUCAGAUUUUCAAAAUUUUGUUCACAUUUUAAAUCUUAUUUCUAUUAAAUCAAAAAAGUCCGAGUUUCAAAACUUUUUCGCAUUUUCAAAAAAUGUUCAGAUUUUCAAAACUUUGUUCACAUUUGAAAUCUUGUUUCUGUUAAUUCAAAAAAUGUUUGAGUUUCAAAUCUUGGUCGCAUUUUCAAAAAAUGUUCACAAUUCCAAAUAAUGUUCGCAUUGCCAAAUUUUGUUCAGAGUUACAAAAAAUGUUCCCUUUCUCAAAAAUUGUUCACAGAUCCAAAAAUAUGUUCGCUUUCUUCAAAUUUUGUUCCAAGUUCCAAAAAAUGUUCACUUUUACUAUUUUCGUUCAUUUUUUAUGAAAUGUUCUUGUUUUUCAAAAUUUUGUUCAACAUUACAAUAAAACUUUGUUGUUUUUCAAAAAAAUUGUACACAGGUCAAAUAAUGUUCAACAAUUUAAAUUAAUUAUUCACAAUUUUGGAAUUGUCGGCGUUGAAAAAAAGAUACAGGUUUUGAAAACAAACUGCGUUUUUCCCGCAAAAAAAUAAACGAACGUUCGAACUUUAAAAAAUGUUUACAUCUGUCUUGGAUUAUGUUCUUAUAGAGUGUGUUGCUUAAUAUUUCCAAAGAAAGUUUUCCGGUGCAAUGGGUAGCCGCGAGGGUACUAAACGUGAGAGCAUCUCCAGCCGUUGGCCCUCCAGGGGCGCCUAAAAUCGCCGCCUAGGGGUGACCCGGUGCAAAAAAUGGGCCUAGGGGCGAGUUGGCCCCCGGCCGCGGGCCCCAGGGCCGCCCCCAGGCGAGAAAAAAAAAUUGUAUAGCAAAUUUAGGCAAAGUUUGACUAAAACACGCCAAAUUUCGGUAAACUUGGGCUUUAUAUUCGCGGAUUUAAGUCGAGUAGUUGUCAUUACAUAUAAAAACUAAUAAAAAAAACUUGCUGAAGGCCGAGAAGUCGCCGUCGUCGCCGCCAUCGUCGGCCUUCUCCACUUUGACUCGGGCGCCGCUGCUGGACCCCUCCCCGGCUGGUGGCGGCGGCGACGCGUCGUUGUCGUCGCUGUCGUCGAUGAUGACGACUCCUCCUUCAUCGCGGCCUCGGCGGCGCUGCGCGAAGCGCCGCAGGGCGGCGCACUGGCGCUCCCUCGCCAUAUUCAGGGAGUCUUGGCAUGCGCAUUCAAGGGCCGCGUCGUCAUCGAGCUUGACCUCGCCGUGCUCCGUCUUCACCGGCUCCAACCCCGGCUCCGUCUUCACCGGCGCGAGACCCGACUUCGUCUUCGGCUUGACGAAGCGCGGGGGAGGAGCCGACAAGGAGGCGCGCCGACCGCCCUCGCUGAUGACGAUGCCAGCGCUGCGAGUGCGGCGGCCGAGCGGCAUCUCCGCCGCGGGCUCGGCCUUGACGCCGAGCAGCGUCGGAGUGCCAGAGGAUUGAGACAAAGAGCGAGACGAGGAGGAAGAGGAGGAGGAGCCGAACCUCCUUGGCGCCCAUUGCCCGUCGCGUCGGCGGUGCGCCGGGGCGGCCGCCCUCGCCGGGGGGUACGCCAACGGUGGGUUGUUGCCGCCCUCGAGGUGCGUCAGCACGCCCUCAAGCGUGCGGCCGGGGACGCCCUACCAUAGGUGGCGCCCCUCGCUGUUCUUCAGGCCGCCGACCACCGGCGCCCCGUUGGUGGACGCCAGCUGUCGGUGUCAAAACCGGCGGAUCUCGGGUAGGGGGUCCCGAACUGUGCGUCUAGGUGGAUGGUAACAGGAGACAAGGGGCACGAUGUUUUUACCCAGGUUCGAGCCCUCUCGAUGGAGGUAAAACCCUACUCCUGCUUGAUUAAUAUUGAUGAUAUGGGUAGUACAAGAGUAGAUCUACCACGAGAUCAGAGAGGCUAAACCCUAGAAGCUAGCCUAUGGUAUGAUUGUUGUUCAUCCUACGGACUAAAACCCUCCGGUUUAUAUAGACACCGGAGAGGGCUAGGGUUACACAGAGUCGGUUACAAUGGGAGGAGAUCUACAUAUCCGUAUCACCAAGCUUGCCUUCCACGCCAAGGAAAGUCCCAUCUGGACACGGGACGAAGUCUUCAAUCUUGUAUCUUCAUAGUCCAGGAGUCCGGCCAAAGGUUAUAGUCCGGUCAUCCGGACACCCCCUAAUCCGAGACUCCCUCAGUAGCCCCUGAACCAGGCUUCAAUGACGACGAGUACGGCGCGCAGAUUGUCUUCGGCAUUGCAAGGCGGGUUCCUCCCCCGAAUACUUCAUAGAAGAUUUUGAACACAAGGAUAGUGUGUGGCUCUGCAAAAUAAAUUCCACAUACCACCAUAGAGAGAAUAAUAUUCAAAUAUAAUCUGCUGACGUAUUCCGUAGCGUGACAUCAUGCCACGGCCAAGCCUUCAUUCGAAUCGUUUUACUAUCCCACCUCAGCGCGUUUAGCGAGGCGGUUUCCUUGGCACGUCUUGUCAAAGCAGAUAUCGUGUCCCCUUAUUCCGGGAUUCUCAUCAAUACGGGCGUGGGUAACCCAGCCGCGCCAUUAAUCAUGGUGCUUGGGAGAUAAGCGAGUUUUACUAGGCUGAUGGGGGUACAUAGUUUCGUCCGCCCAUAUAAGGGGAUAAGGAUCCACUCUUUCCAUUUACGCCUUCUUCCUCCUUUGCUUAUCCAUCUCCGCGCACUCGAGAUCCAGCGCCCAAGUCCGCACUUCCCACCUCAACCUUCUCCAGCCAUGUCCGGAGCGGGAGGUAGGUGGAUGGCCUCCUCCGUUACGGAGGGGCACAUCAAAAAGUUGAGGAAGGCCGGAUACUUGUCCAACGACAUUGCGCACCGGCUUCCAGACGAGGGGCAGCUCAUUCCCACCCCUAGGACACAUGAGAGGGUGGUGUUCCUCCCCCAUUUCCUCCGCGGACUAGGCUUCCCACUCCACCUAUUUGUCCGGGGGCUCAUGUUCUACUAUGGCCUGGAUUUCCACGAUCUGGCCCCAAACUUCAUCCUCAACAUCUCGGCGUUUAUCGUCGUGUGCGAGGUCUUCCUCCGCAUCAAGCCCCACUUCGGCUUAUGGCUGAAGAUCUUCAAUGUCAAGCCGAAGGUAGUGGGCAGCCAGCAGGCGGAGUGCGGAGGCGCCAUGGUGGGCAAGAUGGCCAACGUCACAUGGCUCGAGGGAUCCUUUGUGGAAACCAUCAGAGGGUGGAAAUCGGGAUGGUUCUACAUCACCGAGCCGCGUGACCCUGAAUGGGCAGCGGCCCCCGAAUUCCGAUCUGGCAUCCCCACACGGCUCACCUCCUGGAAAGAGACGGGCCUGUCGUGGGGUAAUUCAGCAGAGCUGACCGGACUCCAAACCUGCGUCAAAGACCUGAUUGACAAGAAGGUUAAAGUUGUCACCGUAGUCCAGGUCAUGCUCUUCCGCCGGAUCCUCCCGUGUCAACGACGGACUUUCAACUUGUGGGAAUUCGACCCGGCCCAGCACCAAACUUUGUCCAGGCUCUUUGACACAACGCACAAAGAUGCCUCUAAGGUGCUAUUCAAGGGCUCCGAGGUUCACCAUCCCAUUACCGAGGAUCGCGGAUUCUGCGCGAAGCGCCAAGCCAGCGUGGUAAGCUUAUUUUACCCAUUACAUGAUACUUGUUUUUCAUAGUUUGACUCUAUGCAGGAUCUAAGGUCCCAUUCCUUUAACAAGACUGGCAGAAGAAGUCCGGACAGAUAGACUGUCCGGCUCCUUUGCCCGAAGGUCCAGCGGACGCCAGUUUGGCGAAGCUGCUGGUCCCGGCACCUCACGUGGUGCUGGAGAAGAAGGCCAAGAAGAAGGCCACGGGAACUCGAAAGAGUUCCCGGUGCCUGGUAGUGUCGGAUUCCUCAUCCGGUGACUCCGAGGCGCACUCCUCCCACGAAGGCGAGGAGGAGGAAGAAGAGGCCUCUCCCCCUCCAACGGGGGGAGGAAAGAAAAGGAAGGCCACCCCAACUAGGGGGGCCGGAGGGUCCAAGAAGGGAAAAAACCCUUCUCCCGGACCACUCCACCAACGCUGACGACGGCGAAGAGGAGUGGCCAUCCAGGGACAAGCCCCUGGCAAAAUCGUAAGUAUCCGGAUACCAGAAUAACUCAUGGUGUUCCUUUACUACACAGUGUCUUCUAACACCGAACAUAAUCAUGCAGUCCGCCCAAGGCCCAGCUCGACGCUUCGUCGAGCGGAUCCCAGGAUUCGUCGGAUGUGAAUAGUCUUUCACUCCCGAUUGCUACCUCCCCUCGCCCCACGGACGACGCCGAGGUGGAGUCCCAAAAGGGGACGGGCCAGGAGGAGGCAGCCCCGGAGGCACCGCAAGGCGACCUUUCGGAUUCCAGGCGCAAAGGGGAUAAAACCCCAAAGGGCUCUAGGUCCGGCCCCGGGCCAAAGACCGCACCGGAACCUUCAGUGGUUCCGGAGUCCGGCAGGCGGCCCCUUCGUAAGAAGGGCAAGCCUACGACGCCGGUGACCUCCGUCCAACCGGAGGCACCGGAUAAUUUGCUGGAGGUGCUCAACGGCGCCUCCAUCAACGAGGAGCACUGCACUAUUAUGAGUGCGGUGAUCCAGAAGGUUCAGUCCGCCAAAAGUGGGCUGACAGAAGCAUGUGCCAGCCUUCUAACAGGCUUCGAGGUAUGUAUUUAAGAUAUGUAAGAAUAUUACCACAUAGACAGUAGCCCCUGAUGCUCUAUUUGGUGUUCAGAAAGAAAAGCCGGACUGAGGAUCUAAAAAGAUAUACGCAGGAGUCUAACAUAAAUAUGUCAAUAUGGGAAUGCAGGCUACGCUGCUGACCUCUGCCGCACUGACUGCGGAGGUCGAUGCAUUGAAGCAGAGCCUCGAGCGGUCCGAGAACGAGCUCGGCCUUGCCAAGAAGCAGCUCGAGGACAAAGAAGGUAAGUAGUACCUUAUGUAAGUAUAUGAAAAUACCUGGUUGCAAAUAGUGACAGGAUCAACGUGAGUGUUAUAGGGGCCACAACCAAGGUGGCGACCCUGAAGGAAGCGUUGUCCAAGGCCGAAGACAAUGCGGCCAUGGAGCGCACCAAGCGAGAAAAGCAGGAGGCGCGGGUGGCGGAGGUGCAGCAAGAGCUCCAUGCUCUUGUGAAGAAACACGAGAGAUUGGAGCUUGACUCAAAGACUCGAGAGUCCGAGCUUGCCUCGGCCCUUGAGAGCGCCAAAUCUGCCAAGGCCGAAGCCCAAAAAGCCCUCCAGGAAAUUGAGGCGAUGAAGAAGAUAGCGGCGGGUAAGGCAUUCUUUAUGCAAAACAAGCACGUGAAAGUGAAUUACUUGUUACUUACGCGAGUCCGGAGCUCUCCAGGAGCAUUCGCAGAUUUGCCCCGCAGUGUGUUCGAUGCUACCUCAUUCUACCGGGCCGAGGAAGGGAGCUCGACGGAGAAGGUGUUCUGGUCCCAGUAUGUUGAGGCCAGACACCUGGUGCCCUUGAGCGACCAGCUGAAGCAGCUGGUCGAGCUCCAUAAGGUAGCCGAACAGGCCAUGAAGGGCCUAAUAGUCCGGCUAUGGCCUGGGGAGGUCAUGCCCGGGAGCUACUUUGGGCUGGUGAGGCGGCUGGUGGAUGCCUGUCCACGGCUUGAAGUCAUCAAGCGCUCCAUAUGCAUCGAAGGCGCCCGUAGGGCCCUUGCCCGUGCUAAGGUACACUGGGGCAAGCUGGAUGCUGAGAAGCUGGUGAAAGAUGGGCCACCGGAGGGGAAGGAGCAUCACAGGCCCGAGAUGUAUUAUGAGGGCGUCCUGAAGGAUGCCCGCCUUGUGGCGAAUGAAUGUUCCAAGGAUUUAAUUUUUGAGUAAACUCGCUCGUGUUUAUCCUGUGCGCUGAAAACUUGUUCAUAUGCGCUAAGCAACGCUUUUUGAAUUUAAAAUAUUACCUUCUGUGCGGCCGUUUAUUAAAUCUGAGAGAUGUGAGUCGUCGGCUUCUGCCCCCAUGCCACAAGUGCUGGGGUGUUCGGGAUAAACCCGAGCGCUCUUGUUCCCAUUCUUGGGUCCUUCGAGGGAGGCGCUCAGCACAACGAACAAGGCAAUCAGACUAUAAUGCUUUAUCACUCUCACUUAGCCAUAGAAUUCUAUAAUUUUAAAUUUCGGCGAAGCCCCUAGUAUUCGGAAGACCGAGUUUGGGGCGCUAUCCACGCCUAGGCCGGACAAAGCCAGCUCCUCGCUCUAAGCGGCAUAAGUCUUUAGGGACUCGAAAACCUCUCGAACAGCGACCGGCUCUCGCCCUAUCAUGACGGUCAGUUUUAGCUUUCUCUACUGAGGUGCUUAACCCAGCUCAACUGGGGCACAAUCAUAGUAGUUCUCCCAGCGCUACCUUAGCCGAUAUAACGGAACGUAAGGUACCAAAACAUGGGAGCCGGGCAAACCCAACUAUUGACCCAAGACAUGAUUCGAAGCCGAUGCAUAUAAUGCUAUAAGUUCAGGGUGCCGCACUCGUGAGAGUGUUCGGACUUCUCACACCAUAUUCUGGGGUACUUAAGCCCCUGGUGUAUUGGCCGUACCAAAGUGUAUGGUUGCCUAAUGUCAUAACUGAACACAUUUACAUAAAAAAUGAAUGCAAUAAUAGAUGAAAGCUAUGUAUUUUUUAAUAAAAGGCUGCUAUGAAAGCAGAACGAUACAAAUAGUGCGAUAAGCAAGAAAUGGGAUUAUUUGACAUGUCCCCCUCCAGGGGCAAGCUGCGGGACUUUUAUGUAAGACAGGUAUUUAGCUCGUUAUAGAGACCACCUGGACGUCGACGUAGCUUGCUGGUUCUCUGGCUAUUGCAUCGUGGGUUCGGCAAUUGUACUGCCGGACAGGCCUUUUGGAUAGUGGAGCCCUGAAAGAAUGACAAAAUCGGGAGCCCCUAGUGCGGUUGAGCCGCAUUUUGGGCGUGCCGUGUGAAAGGGCAUGUAGCCCCUAAGUGUGGUUUUGGUAAUUAAAUGACAAUCUCUAUGGACUAAUGUUUUCAGUGAGAUAUAUUUGAAGGUUUUGUCCAUAGAUAGUGCCUCAAGGAUAUUGGACGGAAUCAAGGAUGAAGUCCAUAUAUAUGAAGAUAGUGCCUCAAGGAUAUUGGACGGAAUCAAGGAUGAAGUCCAUAUAUAUAUAUAUAUAUAUAUAUAUAUAUAUAUAUAUAUAUGAAGUUAGUGCCUCAAGGAUAUUGGACAGAAUCAAGGAUGAAGUCCAUAUAUAUGAAGAUAUAUUUGCCCUAUGCUUUGGUACUAAAUGACAAUUCCUACGGAGCAUCAAGUGCAUUGAAUCUUAUAUGAAGAUAUGUUCCAUAGUGAUGCUUGAAGUGCAUUGGACUGUUUUGUGAAGUCUGCCAUCAAAGCAUCCGAAGAAGUCCUCAUGGUGUCCUUCUCUGGAUACCCCGUGCACACGGGCUUGUACCGUGCGCACGGGGUCGAGUGUCAACUCUCUGGAUACCCCAUGCUUACUUGGCCUAGGUGUUGGCUCUCGAGAUCCCAUAUACAGUGAGGUUUCAAGUUGGUCUUCGGGUACUUCUAUUGAAGCCAUCAAGAUUGGUUUCAAUGCCUAAUCUAAUUAUGUUCAUGAUGGAGUGCAUUGGAGGAUCUCAAAGAUUGAUAUAUUUGGGCUUUUGAGGAUCAAGGCUUGAGAGAGUAAUCAAAGAGAAGAAUUCAAGUUAUGGUCUCAAGACAAGAUCAUGGUGAGAUCAUGUGUUGGGUUUCGGUUGAUCAAGUGUUGAAGCAAGCAACUAGAGUGACGAAUUCAUUAUGCCUCUCAAGAGAUUGUGAUGGAGUUUUUAGAAGGGCAAGUGGUGACCAAGAUGAUAUUCAUAGUGGAACUUGAUAUGGUCAUGGAAGAGUCUUUGGUGAUAUAGUCUUGAAGCAAUGAAGGGAAAUGAAGAGUUCAUUGUGGCUUUCAAGAAACCAAGAUGGAGCUUCGAGUAAAGAUGUUGGUUGACCAAGAUGAAGCUCAAAGAUUAUAUCUAAGUGGUCAACUCUCAAAGCACAAACAUUGUACCACGUGAGAUCAAGUGAUCUAGUGGUAUGGUAAGUAAUUGUGAAUUGUGCUUUGUUACCUAACCCAUGCUAUGUGUUUGGUAUGUCUAUGUGGGUUAGGUGUUUCUCAUGGGCUUGCAUCAAAAGGAAAGAUCUCAAGUAGCCUAUGUGUGGAUGACAUCAAGUGGUGAUGGUCAUCGGGUUCGAGGAUUCCAAGUGCAAGAUGAGAAGCCGGAGGUUAUAUGCUUUGAAGCUUGCAGUCCACAUCAUGAUAAUGCUCAUGUGAAGAUGGGCUUAAGUUAAGGCUUCCCUCAUUGCAAUAUGAGGAAUCAAUUCAAGCAUCUUCACCAAGUGGUUGUGGAGAAGAAAGGGAUUCCAACUUGAGACAAGCAUUGGAGUCAUCACCAAGCUCAAGUUGAAUAUGCAAGGCAAAGGUAUACUUUAGCUAGCUUUUCCUAGUUUUUCCGGUCUCAUGGUGCUUGGAGGGAGACCGGAUUAUAGGUUUGAUGGCCGUACUAUCAAGAGGGACUCUCGGGCAAGUAGCUUGAUCAUGUCGCAUGUAGAGAGAUCAAACCUUUGCAUUACUUGCAUCAUUAUUUAUUGUUGAUCUUGGGUGGUUCUCUAUGUGAGGACCUUGGGCUUUUCCAUAGCUUCAAAACAAGCCCAAGAUCUCAUCGAAUUUGGAGUCCGUAUGCCAAAGUUAUCACUGUUUUAGUGGGCUGCUGCAGGCUGUUCUGGGUACCCCGUGGACACGGGGUUUUUGACCCCCGUGGGCACGGGGCCCCAUGCACACGGGCCUGUACCAUGCGCACGGGACCCCGUGGGCACGGGUGUCCAGGAAGUGUCCGUUGGAGCCCCAACGGCUAGUUUUGGAAGUUGGCUAUAAAAGAGCCCUUCCUCCCCACCGGUUUGGGGGUUGUUCAUUCACAUUCUAAACAUCAUUUUGAGCCUCUUACCACCUCUCCCAAACCCCUAUCUCCCUUCUAAGUGAAGGGUGAUUUGUGGAUGGAUCUUGGAGUCAUUUGUUGAUUUCCUCCAUUGCAUCCCCUCUCUUCAAUCUCCCACUUUCUUGAGUUGCAUCUUGUGAGAUUGAGAGAGUGAGUUGAGAAUUUGUUGCUUGACCAUGCAUUGCAUUUGUUGCAUUGGUUUGAGCUCCCUGCAUUGAUUUGUUCGUGUGAGAGCCCAUGAGUUUAUUACUCUUGGAGGCUUCGCCUCCUAGACGGUUUGGUGAUAUAUUGAGAAGAUUGUGAAGAGGCCUAUGUGGCCAAGGUUCUCCCGGAAGCUUCCUUUUGUGGUGUGCUCCAAGGAAGGGUGUUCAAGUGGCCUAGGUGGUCAAGUUCCUCCGGAAGCUUCCGUGGUUGUGGUGUGCUCCGGAGAGGUUUGUAAAGGUGUGGUGGUCGCCUUCAAGACCAACCCCAAGUGAAUCGAGGCUCAUCCGUUUGGGGUGACUCGAAAGGGAGAAUACGGCGAGUCACUUGGUGACGCCCCGGAGCUUUGGCUACGGCACCGCUCCAACGGAGAUUAGCACUCUAAUGAGUGUGAACUUUGGGAUAAAUCCGCGUCCCCGACUCACUUGUGGUUAUCUCAUACCCACACCCUUUACUUUCCGCAAUUCAUACUUGCCCAUAUUGAUAUAUCUUGUGAUAGUUGAAUUUCUUAGUUGUUCCUUCAUUUCCAUAUCUUGUGAUAUAGUUUGUGCUUGCUAGUUUGCUUAAUUGCCUAUCUUGUUUAGCAUAGGUUGUUGGUGCACUUAGUUGAGCCUAGCAUUUUUGGGAUUUGUGCUUGAAAAGUAUCCGUUAGUUUAAUUCCGCAUUAGGAUAAAGCCAAAUCCGUAAAAGUUUUUAAAACUCCUAUUCACCCCCUCUAGUCGUCAUCUAGAUCAUUUCACCGUGGUUGUGCCCCUCCCCUGAUGCCCAUGGUAUUUCCAGAGCGUAAUUAUGUACGUGUAGUACUGGUUUCGCAAUUUCGCGAGGGCUGGGGUUGGGGACGCACUGCUACGCUUGCACGGAACGCGCCAGGCGGUCUUGUUGUAGGUUACUCCGGGCGUGCUUGACGAUGUCCAGACGUUUAAUAGUCGGUCUGGAGAAUUGCCUUGAGAGGCUACUUUGUACUUCUGCUGUGAGGGCCGCCGUAUGCUCCUCUGUUCGGAGAGAGCGUUCAGUGUUUCCAUUGACCGUAAUGACUCCUCGAGGGCCUGGCAUCUUGAGCUUGAGGUAUGCUAGUGCGACACCGCAUUGAACUUUGCAAAUGCGGUUCGUCCGAGCAGGGUGUGAUAGCCACUGCGGAACGGGACUAUGUCGAAGAUUAACUCCUCGCUUCGGAAAUUAUCCGGGGAUCUGAAGACCACUUCCAGUGUAACUGAGCCUGUACAGUUGGCCUCUACACCUGGUAUGACGCCUUUAAAGGUCGUCCUUUUGGGUUUAAUCCUUGAGGGAUCUAUGCCCAUUUUUCGCACUGUAUCCUAAUAAAGCAGGUCCAGGCUACUGCCGCCGUCCAUAAGGACUCUAGUGAGGUGAAAUAUGUCAAUGAUUGGGUCUAGAACCAAUGCGGCAAAUCCGCCGUGGCGGAUGCUAGUGGGGUGGUCCCUUCGAUCGAAAGUGAUCGGGCAGGAGGACCAUGGGUUGAACUUUGGGCGACUGGAUCCAACGCAUAUACGUCCCUGAGUGCAUGCUUCCGUUCCCUUUUAGGGAUGUGGGUUGCGUAUAUCAUGUUCACCGUCCGCACUUGUGGGGGAAAGCCCUUCUGUCCCCUAUUGUUCGGCGGCCGGGGCUCCUCCUCGUCAUCGCUAUGCAGCCCCUUGUCUCUGUUUUCGGCGCUUAACUUGCCUGCCUGCUUGAACACCCAACAAUCCCUGUUGGUGUGAUUAGCUGAUUUUUCGGGGGUGCCGUGUAUCUGGCACAAGCGAUCGAGUAUUCGGUCCAAAUUGGACGGGCCCGGAGUACUUCUUUUGAAUGGCUUUUUCCGCUGACCGGGUUUAGAGCCUCGGAAUUCGGCAUUAACUGUCGUAUCCUCCGCAUUGUCGCCGUUAAUGUGGCGCUUGUGUUUGUUGCGACGCAACCUGUCAUUGUUGUCCUUGGUAUCCGAAUUACCAGGGCUCUUGGUCAUGUUAUUACUACGAGCUAGCCAGCUGUCUUCUCCCACGCAAAAGCGGGUCAUGAGUAUUGUGAGGGCUGCCAUGGAUUUCGUCUUUUCCUGUCCUAGGUGCCGGGCAAGCCAUUCGUCAUGGAUGUUAUGUUUGAAGGCUGCGAGGGCCUCUGCGUCCGGACAGUCGACUAUUUGAUUUUUCUUGGUUAAGAACCGUGUCCAGAAUUGUCUGUCCGAUUCAUCUGGCUACUGAAUAAUGUGGCUUAGGUCAUCGGCGUCUGGUGGUCGCACAUAGGUGCCCUGGAAAUUGUCAAGGAAUGCGGCUUCCAGGUCCUCCCAGCAACCAAUUGACUCUGCUGGCAAGCUGUUAAGCCAAUGCCGAGCUGGUCCUUUAAGCUUGAGUGGGAGGUAUUUUAUAGCGUGUAGAUCAUCACCGCGGUCCAUGUGGAUAUGAAGGAGAUAAUCCUCGAUCCAUACCGUAGGAUCUGUUGUGCCAUCGUAUGAUUUGAUGUUUACGGUUUUAAAACCCUCGGGGAUUUGAUGAUCCAUUACUUCAUCUGUGAAGCAUAGUGGGUGUGCGGCGCCUCUGUACUGGGCUAUAUCAGGACGUAGCUCAAAUGAGCUUUGUCUGCUGUGUUCGGCUUGGCCGUAUUUGCCAUAUUCGGCAUGACGGUUAUCUUCAUGUGCCAUGGGGCGCCCACGUGAUCCGUAGAUCGAUCUUGUUUGCCUUGCCUUGUCCUCUAAUAUGUCUCGCAGGUCUGGCGCAUUUCCCCGUGCCUUGGAAUUUUUUGAGCAACGCCGGGUUGUGUCUUGAGUGGAUGGCUGAGAGGCCUCUCUGUCGCAGCCACGAGGUGGCCGGUCGGCCGCGUCAUGCGCUGGUGAUGUAGGCUUAGGUGCUUCCUCCUCUAAUCGGGGUAGCAGCCUGCGCUUUGGGUAGCUCUUGGAGGGGCAUUCGAGUUCGUAUUCCUCGGCCGCAAGGACUUCAGUCCAUCUGUCGGCUAGCAAGUCUUGGUCAGCUCUAAACUGCUGCUGUUUUUUCUUGAGGCUGCUCGCCGGGGUCAUAAUCCUGCGUUUGAAACGCUCUUGUUCGAUGGGAUCCUCAGGCACGAUAAAUUCGUCAUCGUCGAGGCUUGCCUCAUCUUCGGAGGGAGGCAUGUAAUUAUCGUCCUCUACGCCUUUGUCUGCCGCUCUCUCAUGAGGGCUGGUUUCUCCAUCCUCCUGAGCUGAAUCCAGCUAGAGGGGGUUGUCUUCGGCACUGUCCGGGGUGUUAUUAUCUCCCGUGCCAGAAUCGUCAUUUUUGCUUUGGCGGGAUUUAGAGCGGCGCCGCUGACGCCAGCGCUUAGGCUGCUUCUUGGAGGGGUCAUCCUCCGUUGUUCCAUCGCCAUUCCCUUCUUUUGGGGUGUCCACCAUGUAUAUGUCAUAUGACGAGGUGGCCUUCCAGUGCCCUAGAGGCGCUGGGUCUUGGUCGUCUCUUGCAUCGGCGUCCAUACCGUCAAUGUCUUCGGAGUCGAAGUCGAGCAUGUCGGUUAAAUCAUCGACAGUGGCUACGAAGUGAGUGGUGGGUGGGCUUUGAAUUUCUUCAUCGUCCGCAUCCCAACCUUGCUGACCAUAGUCCGGCCAAGGCUCUCCUGAUAAAGAGAGAGACUUUAGUGAAUUAAGAAUGUCGCCAAAGGGCGAGUGCUGAAAGAUGUCCGCGGCGGCGAACUCCAUGAUUGGCGCCCAAUCGGGUUCAAUCGGCAGGGGCGCGGAAGGUUUGGAGUCCGGAAAGGAGUCCGGCACCUUGGAGUCACAAGCUUCGCGAAGGACAAGGCUGAUGUUCGGCUCGAUCGCCGUAGAGAUUGCAGCCCCUGAGGCGGUGUCCAGCCACCCGUCCUCGAUUGGCGCAGUCGGCUCCGAACUGAGGGUCGGAGCGGACACUGGGGCGGCCUCCUAGGCACUGUUCAGCGGCAGAGCUAGAUCAUGCCCAUCGUGAGAGUGCGGCGCGCUCGGCUGUGGCUCGAACCCAUCGAAGAUCAAGUCUCCGCGGAUGUCAGCCGUGUAGUUCAAACUUCCAAAUCUGACCUGAUGGCCAGGGGCAUAGCUUUCGAUCUGCUCCAGAUGGCCAAGCAAAUUGGCCCGCAGUGCAAAGCCGCCGAAUACGAAGAUCUGUCCGGGGAGAAAAGUCUCACCCGGGACCGCGUCGUUGUUGAUGACCGGAGGAGCCGUCGGGCCUAAAGAUGACGACAAAGAUGAACUCUCAACGAAAGCACCAAUGUCGGUGUCAAAACCGGCGGAUCUCGGGUAGGGGGUCCCGAACUGUGCGUCUAGGCGGAUGGUAACAGGAGACAAGGGACACGAUGUUUUUACCCAGGUUCGGGCCCUCUCGAUGGAGGUAAAACCCUACUCCUGCUUGAUUAAUAUUGAUGAUAUGGGUAGUACAAGAGUAGAUCUACCACGAGAUCAGAGAGGCUAAACCCUAGAAGCUAGCCUAUGGUAUGAUUGUUGUUCGUCCUACGGACUAAAACCCUCCGGUUUAUAUAGACACCAGAGAGGGCUAGGGUUACACAUAGUCAGUUACAAUGGGAGGAUAUCUACAUAUCCGUAUCGCCAAGCUUGCCUUCCACGCCAAGGAAAGUCCCAUCCGGACACGGGACGAAGUCUUCAAUCUUGUAUCUUCAUAGUCCAGGAGUCCGGCCAAAGGUUAUAGUCCGGUCAUCCGGACACCCCCUAAUCCGGGACUCCCUCACCAGCCACUGCUGCUGGCGGCACUAGAAGUACGCCGCCCAAGCCGCGUGGUUGUCGGCAGCAUACUAGGGGAGGGAGAGCUCGGCAUCGUUGAGGGAGGCGCGCACGAUCUCGACCUCAUCGGCGAAGUAGGAUGGUUUGGACACGGCGUCGGGCAACGCGGGAAUGGGCACUCCCCCAUUGCUGAGCCUCCAGCCUGUCAGUCCGGCGCGCAUGUUUGGCGGCGCGGGAAUGUUCGCCUGGAACAAGAGCCAGGACUCCUGUUCGCGGAGCGAACGGCAGCCGAAGCCGUUAGCCGCCGCCUCGUCUCCGGGGAAACGCUCGGCCAUCGGGAGAUGGAGUGGCUGGGGGAGAAGAGCUCGGUGGCGGCGCUCGGGAGAGGGAGGGCUGGGGGAGAAGAGCUCGGCGGCGGCGCUCGGGAGAGGUAGCACUCAUCAGAGGCAAGCGCGGCCAUAUAUAGCCGCGCCGCGUCCGUGUGUACGUGUCCGAGGGAGGGGAGGUGUCGGCACGCCGCCCCAUGACGCGCCGCCCGUGAGGUAUCAAUGGCAAAGCUGACCGGCGGCAGCCUUGCCAUUGAUUCCCCGCGGGAAACCGAGGCAUCGGGAGAAGACGAGGCGGGUGGUGUCGCUGACGCGGCUGGCCCGCGUCGCUUUCGCGCCAAAAAUGAUUCGCCCGGCGCCCCCGAGCGCGCCGGGUUUGGGUUGGGUCCGCUGAUGCCAAUUUCGGCACGAGCCGGCGAAAAAUGGGCCCCUGGGGGCGCGACUGGGCCAAUUUUUUGGUGCCAGCGGCCGAAAAGUCGCCUGGGGGGCCUUGUUGGGGGCGCGGCUGGAGAUGCUCUGAGGUCUCGAGUUUGAAUCUCAAGCCUCUCUCAGUUUUUCGCAUUUUUUCAGCUCGCGAACGCCAAAUGGGCUGGCGCAGGCGAGACACCCCUUGUGUGAAAUGUAAACUCUUUGACGCAAAGAGCGUCACAUAGGAGCACCCGACACUGUACUCCAUCCGGCAAGCGAGGAAACAACUACAAGGUACGAGACGACUCGUGGGCCUGUGGCGCGGCCCACUUGAACCAAGAUGAAGCCUGGGUAGAAUGAUGGCCCAGAGUGGACUCAGUAGCUUAAAUACAAACAUGUAACGUUUGAUUUACUUGGCUAUGAUUUGGACAGCGGCUUCGGCCGAGCUGUAAGCUACCUAUGGCUGUGAGGGAGGUUGGGAGGAAAUACACGCCACAACAAUUCCCCAUUUCGCCAUGAACCCUAGCUCAACCCUCUAGAUCAACCUUCGUACUUACACUUGGUAUUAGAUUCAGCGGUCCUGGCGCUUCCUCAACACCAUCACGGCACACGGUGGCGGGAUUGACGGUGAACGGAGGCGGUGGAGAAGUUAUCUGAGGAAGGGAAGGGCAUGCACGAGCUCCUGCGCGCGGACUUCGCCACGGAUCUCGACCGCCGCUUCAAGGAACAAGGUUCGGAUCUUCUUCAAGCCAUGAAAAAGUUGAUUGCGGCGAACACGAAGACUCUAGAUAGGUUGCUCUCGGCACGGGUGGAUGGCGUCCGUGAUGAGCUGCUGAUGGAGAUGGGUCAGCUCCAUGCUGAGCAACCGCAGGAAGCUCCUCUUUGCUCUGACGGGAUUCCCGCCUCGCGCUUUGUUGGGAAUGGUUGCGGCGGCGCUGCCACCGAUUCCCUUGGCAUCAACAAUGACCACCUGGGGAACGUGCAUAAUACUUAUGUUCCUCCCCUGGUCAGAGGUGCAUGUGAUUCAAGUUUGUCCUUCCGCAAUACCUUGCCCCAUUAUUUGAACUUUGUAGAUGCUGCUGAUUCGUUUGCGUUCGUUGUUCGUUUGGAAUCCAAUUCGCGUAUGUGGCAAACGCGAUGUGAGGACCAAUUCAGGUUGUGGUGUACUCCGACUCACAUAUGGAUUUCCUUGGCAACAACUCAAUUUGAAGGUACUGCAGCUAGAUGGUCGGAAUCAAUGCAACAUCGCCAACCACAGGCGAGUUGGUCUGAAUUUUGUCAGUGUUUGCAGAUUCAUUUUGGUCGAAAUCAGCAUCAAACCUUGUUGCGUCAGUUGUUUCAGAUAGCGCAAACAUCUUCAGUGGCUGAUUACGUUGAGCGUUUUGCUAAUUUGUAUGAUCAAUUGUCUGCCUAUGAAGAAGCACCAAACUCUUUGCACUAUACGACUAGGUUCCUGGAUGGUCUGAAACCAGGGGUCAAUGUUGCUAUUGCUCUUCAGAAACCACGAGAUUUGGAUGCGGCUUAUGAUUUAGCACUGCUACAUGAAGAGUUGGGAGAAGGGUUCACACCUCUUAACAGUGUAAACCAGGUGAAGUCGGGUCCUAUGCCCCUACCAUUGCCACCCAAUAAACAACACAGUUAUGAGGACAAACGAGACCGUGAGAUUCAGAAGACAUUCCUUUAUUGACAGUAAUUUUGCUUCCUAGAUUGACAAAUGUACAAAAGAAUUCACCUGUGCCAGUAACUGUAGCUGGUGGAGGGACACUGCAGUGUGACUCUAUACUGAAAAAUUGUUCCUGUAAUUGUGGGACAGUUCAAUUCACUAGUGAUUUCAGACUUUUGUCCUUGGCCAGUUAUGAUGGGACAAUUGGGUUAGAUUGGCUUGCUCAACCUAGUCCUAUGCAAAUAGAUUGGGUGCGGAAGUGGAUGUCCUUCUCUUAUUAGGGUAAAGUGAUUACAUUGCAAGGAUUGUUUCCUAAAGAUGUUGUUGUUACAGUGUUCUCAGUUUCAUUGAUCGGGCCUGUUGAAGAAAAAGUGAAACAUCCAGAAUUGCAGGUGUUGUUGGAUAAGCAUGCUAUAGUGUUUGAAACUCCAACCACAUUACCACCCAGAAGACUCAAAGAUCAUACUAUCCCACUAAUUCCUGGAACAAGACCAUUAUCUGUUAGGCCCUAUAGGAUUGCUCCACACUUUAAGGAUGAACUAGAGAGAUGGAUCAAAGAAAUGUUGGAUUCAAGGAUGAUCAGACAUAACAAUAGUGCUUUUUCUUCUCUUGUAUUGCUGGUCAAGAAGAAAGAAGAAGGCACUUGGAGGACAGUGAUUGAUUAUAGGCAUCUCAAUGCUAUUACAUUGAAAAGUAAAUAUCUAGUGCCUGUAAGAUGAACUUCUGGAUGAACUAGCAGGAGCUUGUUGGUUUUCUAAACUGGAUUUGAAAGAUGGAUACCAUUAGAUCAGAUUAGCACCAGGAGAAGAGUACAAAAUAGCCUUUAAGACUCAUAAUGGAUAUUAUGAAUUUAAUGUGAUGGGCAUGGGUCUGACAAGAGCACCAGGGACAUUUCAGGGGACAAUGAAUUAUGAUCUCUCUCCUGUUUUGAGGAAAUGUGCAGUGGUAUUCUUUGAUGAUAUAUUGGUAUUCAGUAAAACACUGAGAGAACAUUGGAAACAUUUGGAUGAGGUUUUGUCUAUUCUGAAUAAAGAGUAGAAGAAAGUGAAGAUGUCUAAAUGUGAUUUUGCUCAGCCUAAGAUAGCAUACCUGGGGCAUGUUAUUUCUACAGAAGGUGUUUCUACUGAUCCGGAUAAAAUAGUAGCUGUUCAGCAAUGGCCUGUUCCACAUAAUGUGAAGGAAGUGAGGGGUUUCCUUGGGUUGAGUGGCUAUUACAGAAAGUUCAUUAAGCAUUAUGGGAUUAUUGCAAGGCCAUUAACUAAUCUGCUCAAGAAGUGAUGCCUUUUGUAUGGACAAGCAUAACAAACGAAGCUUUUGUAACACUCGAGCAGGCAUUGGUAUCUGCUCCUGUCCUGGAAUUACCAGAUUUUACUAAACCCUUCAUGAUAGAGACUGAUGCUUGUGAGUAUGGUAUUGGUGCAGUUCUAAUGCAGUAAGGACACCCACUAGCUUUUGUUAGCAAAACCUUGGGCCCCAAGAACAGAGCUCUGUUAGUGUAUGAGAAAGAAUAUCUGGCUAUCUUGUUGGCAGUGGAUAAAUGGAGACCCUACUUGCAAGUACAACAGUUUACUAUCAAAACAUAUCAAAGAAGUUUGGCUCAUCUGCAAGAUCAGAGGUUGCACACAAUUUGGCAAUAGAAAUGUCUUACUAAAUUGUUGGGAUUGAACUAAAUUCAGUACAAGCAAGGUAAAGAGAAUACUGCAGUUGAUGCUUUAUCUAGGAGACCUCGAGAUAAUUCCCAACUUUUCUCAAUAUCUAGUAAUCAACCUACUUGGGUGACUAAAAUCAUAGAUAGUUAUCAGCAAGAUGAAAAAGCUCUAGCUAUUUUGCAGCAAUUAGCUAUGCAGCCACCUCUAAACCACCAUACAGCCUGGUGAAUGGAUUGCUGAAAUAUAAGCAGAGCAUUUGAAUAGGUCCUGUCCCUGCCCUACAUCAGAAAAUCUUUGCUGCCUUCAAUGAUAGUCCCUUGGGUGGGCAUUCAGGGUUUCCAGUUACAUACAAAAGAAUUCAUGCUCUGAUUUCUUGGUCUGGUAUGAAGAAAUUCAUCUUAGCUCAGGUGCAGUCCUGUUUGAUUUGUUAGAAAGCUAAACCUGAAAGCAGUCCUUAUCCUAGAUUGUUAUCACCACUGCCAGUGCCACACAAGGCUUGGGACAGUGUUUCUAUGGAUUUCAUCAGUGGUCUUCCUCAAUCUUCUCAAUACAACUGUACUUUGGUGGUGAUUGACAAGUUCUCCAAGUAUGGUCAUUUUAUUCCUUUGAAGCAUCCUUUUAAUGCCCAGAAAGUGGCUGAGGUGUUCUUGGAUAAUGUGUAUAAGUUGGAUGGAAUGCCUAAGAUCACUAUUUCUCACAGAGAUCCAAUUUUCACUAGCAUCUUUUGGAAGUUGUUGACUGCCAGAACUGGGACUCAACUGAACAUGAGCACAACAAAUCAUCCUGAGACGAUGGGCAGAGUAAAUCAGCAGGUGGAAUGCUAUCUAAAAUGUUUUAACAGUGCUCAACCUCAUAAGUGGAGUAAGUGGUUGUCCUUGUGUGAAUUUUGGUAUAAUUCUAACUGGCGUUCUGCUCUGGGAAGUCUCCUUUUGACAUACUGUAUGGGUAUACUCCAAGAUAUUUUGGUAUUAGUGAGUCUGAUACAAUUGCACCAGUAGAAAUGCAAGAAUGGUUGCAAUCUCAUCAAGCAAUUACAGAGACAGCAAGGCAGCACUUGUUGAGAGCACAACAACAUAUGAAAAAUCAAGAUGAUAAGAAAAGGUCUGACAGAAACUUCGAAUAGGAGAUCAGGUGUUCCUAAAGUUGCAACCAUAUGCUCAGUUGUCACUUUACCCUAGAGCAAAUCAUAAACUUGCUUUCAAGUUUUAUGGUCCAUUUCAAGUUUUGGAAAAGAUAGGGGAUAGAGCAUACAAGUUGGAUCUUCUUGUAAUUAGCCGCUUACAACCUGUGUUUCAUGUUUCAAAAUUGAAACGACUUCUGCCAUGAGAAGCUGUUAUCCAUCAGUCACUACCUACAGCUCAGGCCGCACUUCAGUUUCAUGUCCAAGUUUUGCAGCAAAAGGUGUGUCAGGUCGGCAACUAUACUGUAGUCCGAGGACUGGUCCAGUGGUCUGAUUCUUCGCAUGUUAAUGCAACCUGCAAAGAUUUGGAGUUCCUCAAACAAUAGUUUCCCCGUGCUCCGGCUUGGGGUCAAGCCGACUCUCAAGGGGGGAGGAUUGUCAGCAAUUCUGACCAACAGGAGAUGAAUACUGAAGAUCAAGGACAUGCGGCAACAGGGUGAAGGCACUGUACUCCAUCCGGCAAGCAAGGAAAUAGCUACAAGGUCCGAGACAGCUUGUGGGCUUGCGGCGUGGCCCACUCGAACCAAGACGAAGCCCAGGUGGAACGAUGGCCCAGAGUGGACUCAGUAGCUUAAAUACAAACAUGUAACAUUUGAUUGUACUUGGCUAGAUUUGGACGGCGGCUUCGGCCGAGCUGUAAGCUACCUAUGGCUGUGAGGGAGGUUGGGAGGAAAAACACGCCACAGCAAUUCCCCAUUCCACCAUGAACCCUAGCUCAACUCUCUAGAUCGACCUUGGUACUUACACUGGUCGGUGGUGGUUGGUGAAGCUCAAGCUGCCUGCGGUGGUAUGGUGUGGUGGUACCUCUGUCCAAGGCAGAACCGUGCCAGCGAUCUGAUGGUUUGGCUCCAGAUUGGAUCACAUCAGUGACAGUGACGAGCAGGAGCGGGAUCUUUCCUGGUGGCUCUCGCGGUUUGGCGAUGUGGUGUGCUGUAUCUCCUCCCAGGCUCCAGCGGUUGUGCACUCUAGCAGUGGCUGGUGUGCCAGGCCUCCCGUGGUGGCAAUGCUGCUGUCUGCUGUGGGUGGUCGUCGGAUCUGGGAGGCCAGAUCUGGGGCUUUGAAGGUGGUCUAGCUAGUGCACAAGAUGUUGGCUAGAUUCUCGUGGGACAAGAUGUGGGUGAAAACUUUGUCUUUGGCUAGUGGCCGGAGCUGGUGAUGGUGACACCCUAGGCGUCGUUUCCUUCUUGAAGGUAUCAUCGAGGUGAAGCUCCCACCUCCUUUCGCUAUCUCUGGGGUGAACCUUGAUCAGUCAAUUAGAUGAUGCGGUGCUCAAGUGCCAUUCCCCCGUUGGGGGCGUCAUUCUUGGAGGUGUUCAUCGGCUCGAGGGACCAGUGGACGGUGACAGUGGUGGAGCGGCAUUUUACAUGACACAUCAACGAUGUGGAGUCUCAGCAGCGUGGUGCAGCAGGGUCUCAACGAUGGACGCGUGUAGGAAGGUGGCAUUGUGGUGGUGUCGACGACAGACCUAGCAAGGCUAAUGGUUUGAUUCCAGUUCUGAAGAUGGAUCGACGGAAGUGGUGGCAGUGGUCUUUGGAGCGUGUGCAUGUGGUGCCUGCUGCGAGUCUGUUGGACCAGCUUGUGCCACCGACCCAUCGUAGGAGGGAUGGUUGAGGCAUCUGGGUUUUGAUGUUUGGCGAUGGUGUGAGGUUUGAGCAGACGGCUCGGUUAUGUGCACAUCCUUCAUCAUGUUGGUAGGAGUAGCAACAAUAGUUGCCAGAAAGGUGGCUUCAAACUCAUUGAUGUAUUACUUUGUAAGGCUUUAUUGAAUAAUUAGUAAAGAGAUUCUAAUUUUUUUUAAUAAAGAUAUGUAUGCAUCGGCUUGAUGCAAAGGCUAGGGAUAGUCCUCCUUUUUUAAAAAAAAAAGUGCCCUCCGCUUGGAUGACACGACGGCCACCCCCUCCCUAGCUACCUCCAGACCCGAUCUCUCCCCUCGCCGUCGAAAGACGUACAGGCCAAAACAACCGACAACAAGUACCUUGUUGCAUGCUCAGGGUAGGAGAUGGUGAUGACAGUUGUUGGGUUUCUAGGGCCUAUUUGGAUCGUUGCUGGUGGUUGCCAUGCCAAAAUUUUGGCGUGGACUCGUGGUAUAGGGUACUGUUUGGAUUGAAGUCCCAAUAUCGGAGCCACACCAAAAAAUUAGUCGUUGUGUUCAAUUAUGUGCCCACGCAUGGGAGAAAUAGGGGCGGGCAAAUCGUUCACCAAAAUAUUGGCGCACCUCAUUUUUUGGAAGAAACUUGCCAUCUACCAAAACAUCAUAUAUUUAGCCCUACAUAAACAUCUUAUAAUUAGGAACAAAGUGGGUAUUCAUUAUUUUUAAUGGCAGUACAAAGAACAUCAGUAGUAAAAAAAUUACAAUCAGGUCGGUAGACCAAUGAUGUCUACUACACAACCUUCUUCUUGUAGACGUUGUUGGGCCUCCAAGUGCAGAGGUUUGUAGGACAGUAGCAAAUUUCCCUCAAGCGGAUGACCUAAGGUUUAUCAAUCUGUGGGAGGUGUAGGAUGAAGAUGGUCUCUCUCAACCAACCCUGCAACCAAAUAACAAAGAGUCUCUUGUGUCCCCAACACACCCAAUACAAUGGUAAAUUGUAUAGGUGCACUAGUUCAGCGAAGAGAUGGUGAUACAAGUGCAAUAUGGAUGGUAGAUAUGAGUACUUGUAAUCUGAAAAUAUAAAAACAGCAAGGUAACAAGUGGUAAAAGUGAGUGUAAACGGUAUUGCAAUGCUAGGAAACAAGGCCUAGGGUUCAUACUUUCACUAGUGCAAGAUCUCUCAACAAUAAUAACAUAACUGGAUCAUAUAACUAUCCCUCAACAUGCAACAAAGAGUCACUCCAAAGUCACUAAUAGCGGAGAACAAACAAACAGAUUAUUGUAGGGUAUGAAACCACCAAAAAGUUAUCCUUUCUGAUCGAUCUAUUCAAGAGUCCGUAGUAAAAUAACAUGAAGCUAUUCUUUCCGUUCGAUCUAUCAUAGAGUUCGUACUAGAAUAACACCUUAAUACACAAAUCAACCAAAACCCUAAUGUCACCUAGAUACUCCAAUGUCACCUCAAGUAUCCGUGGGUAUGAUUAUUGGAUAUGCAUCACACAAUCUCAGAUUCAUCUAUUCAACCAACACAAAGUACUUAAAAGAGUGCCCCAAAGUUUCUACCGGAGUGUCAAGACGAAAACGCAUGCCAACCCCUAUGCAUAAGUUCAUUAAACCCGCAAGUUGAUCACCAAUACAUACAUCAAGUAGAUCAUGUGAAUAUCCCAUUGUCACCACAGAUAAGCACGACAAGACAUACAUCAAGUGUUCUCAAAUCCUUAAAGACUCAAUCCGACAAGACAACUUCAAGGGGAAAACUCAAUUCAUCACAAGAGAGUAGAGGGGGAGAAACAUCAUAAGAUCCAACUAUAAUAGCAAAGCUCGAGAUACAUCAAGAUCGUAACACCACAAGAACACGAGAGAGAGAGAGAGAGAGAGAGAGAUCAAACACAUAGCUACUGCUACAUACCCUCAGUCCCGAGGGUGAACUACUCCCUCCUCAUCAUGACGAGCACCGGGAUGAUGAAGAUGGCCACCGAUGAGGGAUCCCCCCUCCGGUAGGGUGCCGGAACAGGGCCCCAAGAGGUUUUUGGUGUCUAUAGAGGUUUGCGGCGGCGGAACUCCCUAUCUAUUUGUGCUCUCCGAUGUUUUUAUGGUAUAUGUACAUAUAUAAGCGAAAGAAGUCGGUCAGGGGAGCCACGAGGGUGGGGGCGCGCCCAGGGGGGUAGGGCGCGCCUCCCUGCCUCGUGGCUUCCUUGAAGCUUCCCUGACUUCUACUCCAAGUCUCCCUGAUUGCUUCCGCUCCAAAAAUAACUCUCCCGAAGGUUUCAUUCCGUUUGGACUCCGUUUGAUAUUCCUUUUCUGCGAAACACCGAAAUAGGCAAAAAAACAGCAAUUUGGGCUGGGCCUUCGAUUAAUAGGUUAGUCCCAAAAAUAAUAUAAAAGUGUAUAGUAAAGCCCAUAUAGAUCCAAAAUAGGUAAUAUAAUAGCAUGGAACAAUCAAAAAUUAUAGAUACAUUGGAGACAUAUCAAGCAUCCCCAAGCUUAAUUCCUGCUCGUCCUCGAGUAGGUAAAUGAAAAAAACCAGAAUUUUUGAUGUGGAAUGCUACCUAGCAUAUUUCGCAAUGUAAUUCUCUUUAUUGUGUCAUGAAUGUUCAGAUCCAAAUGAUUCAAAAUAAAAGUUCAUAUUGACAUAAGAAAUAGUAAUACUUCAAGCAUACUAACAAAGCAAUCAUGUCUUCUCAAAAUAACAUGGCUAAAGAAAGUUCAUCCCUACAAAAUCAUAUAGUAAGGCUAUGCUUCAUUUUCAUCACACAAAAUACACCCAUCAUGCACAACCCCGGUUUCAGCCAAGCAAUUGGUUCAUACUUUUUAACGCGCUUCAGCCUUUUCAACUCUCACGCAAUACAUGAGCGUGACCAUGGAUAUAGCACUAUGUGUGGAAUAGAAUAUGAUGAUGGAGAUUGUGUGGACAAGACAAAAAAGGAGAAAUUCUCACAUUGACGAGGCUAAUCAACGGGCUAUGGAGAUGCCCAUCAAUUGAUGUCAACAUGAGGAGUAGGGAUUGCCAUGCAUGCAACGGAUGCACUAGAGCUAUAAAUGUAUGAAAGAUCAACAAAAGAAACUAAGUGGGUGUGCAUCCAACUUGCUUGCUCAUGAAGACCUAGGGCAUUUUGAGGAAGCCCAUCGUUGGAAUAUACAAGCCAAGUUCUAUAAUGAAAAAUUCCCACUAGUACAUGAAAGUUACAACAUAAGAGACUCUCUAUAUGAAGAACAUGGUGCUACUUUGAAGCACACGUGUGGAAAAAGAUAGUAACAUUGUCCCCCCUUUUUUGGGGGCCUUUCUUUUUUUAUUUGGCCUUUCUUUUUUGGGCCUUUCUUUUUUUGUGGCCUUUCUCUUUUUUUCCUUUUUAUAAGGGACAAUGCUCUAAUAAUGAUGAUCAUCACACUUCUAUUUAUUUACAACUCAAGAACUACAACUCGAUACUAGAACAAGAUAUGACUCUAUAUGAAUGCCUCCGGCGGUGUACCGGGGUGGGCAAUGAAUCAAGAGUGACAUGUAUGAAAAAUUAUGCAUGGUGGAUUUGCCACAAAUACGAUGUCAACUACAUCAUGCAAGGCAAUAUGACAAUGAUGAUGCGUGUCAUCAUAAACGGAACGGUGGAAAGUUGCAUGGCAAUAUAUCUCGGAAUGGCUAUGGAAAUGCCAUAAUAGGUAGGUAUGGUGGCUGUUUUGAGGAAGAUAUAAGGAGGUUUAUGUGUGAUAGAGCGCAUCAUAUCACGGGGUUUGGAUGCACCGGCGAAGUUUGCACCAACUCUCAAGGUGAGAAAGGGCAAUGCACGGUACUAAAGAGGCUAUCAAUGAUGGAAAGGUAAGAGUGCGUAUAAUCCAUAGACUCACAUUAGUCAUAAAGAACUCAUAUACUUAUUGCAAAGUUUUAUUAGCCCUCGAAGCAAAGUACUACUACGCAUGCUCCUAGGGGGAAGGUUGGUAGGAUUUAACCAUCGCGCGCCCCCGACCUCCACACAUAAGGAAGGCAAUCAAAAGAGCAUCACAUGCAAUAAAUUUGUUACACAACUUUUACCAUACGUGCAUGCUACGGGACUUGCCAACUUCAACACAAGUAUUUAUUUAAUUCACAAUUACCCAACUAGCAUGACUCUAAUAUCACUACCUCUAUAUCUCAAAACAAUUAUCAAGCAUCAAAUUGAUCAUAGCAUCCAAUUCACUUUCUAUGAUAGUUUUUAUUAUACCCAACUUGGAUGCCCAUCAUUCUAGGACCAAUUUUAUAACCAUAGCAAAUACCAUGCUGUUCUAAAAGACUCUCAAAAUAAUAUAAGUGAAGCAUGAGAGAUCAAAAAGUUCUACAAAAUAAAACCACCGUCGUGCUCUAAAAGAUAUAAGUGAAGCACAUAGAGCAAAACUGUCUAGCUCAAAAGAUAUAAGUGAAGCACAUAGAGUAUUCUAACAAAUUCCAAAUCAUGUGUGUCUCUCCCAAAAGGUGUGUACAGAAAGGAUGAUUGUGGUAAAAUAAAAAGCAAAUACUCAUACCAUACAAGACACUCCAAGCAAAACACAUAUCAUGUGGUGAAUAAAAAUAUAGCUCCAAGUAAAGUUACCGAUGGACGAAGACGAAAGAGGGGACGCCAUCCGGGGCAUCCCCAAGAUUAGGCUCUUGGUUGUCCUUGAAUAUUACCUUGGGGUGCCUUGGGAAUACCAAAGCUUAAGCUAUUGCCACUCCUUAUUCCAUAGUCCAUCAAAUCUUUACCCAAAACUUGAAAACUUCACAACACAAAACUCAACAGAAAACUCGUAAGCUCCGUUAGUAUAAGAAAAUAAAUCACUACUUAGGUACUGUUGUGAACUCAUUCUAAAUUCAUAUUGGUGUAAUAUCUACUGUAUUCCAACUUCUCUAUGGUUCAUACCCUUCGAUACUACUCGUAGAUUCAUCAAAAUAAGCAAACAACACAUAGAAAACAUAAUCUGUCAAAAAUAGAACAGUCUGUAGUGAUCUGUAUCAUUUGAAUACUUAUGUAACUCCACUAAUUCUACCAAAUUGGGAAAACCUGAGAAAUUUGUGUACCAAUCCAGAGAAAAAAGAAUCAGAUCAGAAUCAAGUUUCUGUGAAUUAUCAAAACUAAUUUACUUGGUGCAAAAGUUUCUGAUUUUCAGCAGGAUCAACACAACUAUCACCGUAAGCUAUCCUAAAGGUCUUACUUGGCACUUUGUUGAAACAAAAGCUAUAAAACAUGUCUAAUACAGUAGCAUAAUCAUGUGAACAAAAAAAUAAGGGUAAAUAUUGGGUUGUCUCCCAACAAGCGCUUCUCUUUAAUGCCUUUUAGCUAGACACGAUGAUUUCAAUGAUGCUCGCAUAAAAGAUAAGAAUUGAAACAUAAAGAGAGCAUCAUGAAGAAUAGUACUAACACAUUUAAGUCUAACCCACUUCCUAUGCAUAGGGAUUUUGUGAUCAAACAACUUAUGGGAACAAUAAUCAACUAGCAUAGGAAGGCAAAACAAGCAUAACUUCAAAAUUGUCAACACAUAGAGAGGAAACAUGAUAUUAUUGCAAUUUGUAGAAGCAUAUGAUCCUCUCUCCUAAUAAUUUUCAGUAGCAUCAUGAAUGAAUUCAACAAUAUAACCACCACAUAAAGCAUUCUUUUGAUGAUCUACUUGCAUAGAAAUUUUACUACUCUCCACAUAAGCAAAAUUCUUCUUAUUCGGAAUAGCGGGAGUAUCAUAAGAGACUCGAAUACUAUAAAUUGUUUCCAUAUUAAAAGAGUAAUGUUCAGAAAAAGGGUAAUCAUAAUCAUGACAAGUUUUAUAAACAUAAUCAUCACUACUUUUUAUAGCAUAAGUUUCAUCACAAUAAUCAUCAUAAGUAGCAACUUUGUUCUCAUCAUAAUCAAUUGAAACCUCUUCAAAAAUAGUGGAUUCAUCACUAAAUAAAGUCAUGACCUCUCCAAAUCCACUUUCAUAAGAUUCAACACCCUCCAAAACAGUGGUAUCAUUACUUCCUAAAGUUGACACUCUUCCAAACCCACUUUCAUCAAUAUAAUCAUCAUAAAUAGGAGGAAUGCUAUCAUCAUAAUAAGUUUGCUCAUCGAAACUAGGGAGGCUAAAAAUAUCAUCUUCAUUAAAUGUAGCAUCCCCAAGCUUGGUACAAACAUUAAUUGCAUCAAAUAUAUUCUAAAAAAUUUCAUUCUCAUCAAACAUAGCAUCCCAAAGCUUGGGCCUUUUCAUAUCAUAAGCAUAAUCACUCUCAUCAUUAACAGUAUGGAUAGCACCAAUAGUAUAGCAUUUAUCAUCAUCACAAUGAGUAGUAGGAGAAACAUCAUUUGGGAGGGAUACCUUUCUACCUUUGCUCCUCCGUCUUUUCUUUUUCUUCUUCACAUCGUGUGUGGGUUUAACCCUCUUUUUUAGCUCCUUAUUAAUAAGAUUGGUUGAAUAGAAAGCUCCUCCUCGUUACCUGAUUCAUCAUAAGAAAUAAUAGGAGGAUAUUGGAAAGUCUCUUCCAUUUUAUUAGUAUUCUCAUCAUCUUCUAUUUGCUUUCUUUUCUUUAUGUAAUUGGCAAUAUAAGGAUUUUCAAUGCAAUUCACCGCACAAUACAUAAAAAUUUCUUGUAGAUCAAUAUCAAGGAAUUGCUUAAGGUUAUAUUCUAGAAUAUGCUUAGUUAAAUGUUUCAUUUCUUCAUAACCCAAAAGAAAACUAAGUUCAUUAUGAUGUGCAAGGGAAAUCAAAUCAUCACAAUUUUAGGACACAAUUCGAUCAUGAAACAAUUUUCAUCAGAGAUGUAAAUGACCAUGUUCAUUGCAAAGUUCACAAGUACGGCAAAGAAAUUUUAAAUUUUCAGCACAAACAUCUAGCCUUUCUUGCAACCAUUUAGUUUCUAAAUACUUAUACCUCUUACAAAAUCUAUCUUCCCUAUUUGGUGUGUACUUGCAAACUCUAUGCACUCCACAGAAGUUGACAUGCUUAUAAGAGACAUUUUCAUCAUAACUAGUGUAAUCAUCAUUAGUACUAUGGAUAUUCAAAGAGUUCAUACUAACAACAUUGCAAUCAUGCUCAUCAUUCAAAGAUUUAGUGCCAAACAUUUUAUAGACUUCUUCUUCUAGCACUUGAGCACAAUUUUCCUUUCUAUCAUUCUCACGAAAGAUAUUAAAAAGAUGAAGCGUAUGAGGCAAACUCAAUUCCAUUUUUGGUAGUUUUCUUUUAUAAACUAAACUAGUGAUAAAACAAGAAACAAAAAGAUUCGAUUGCAAGAUCUAAAUAGAUACCUUCAAGCACUCACCUCCCCGGCAAUGGCGCCAGAAAAGAGCUUGAUGUCUACUACACAACCUUCUUCUUGGAGACAUUGUUGGGCCUCCAAUGUGCAGAGGUUUGUAGGACAAUAGCAAAUUUCCCUCAAGUGGAUGACCUAAGGUUUAUCAAUCCGUGGGAGGCGUAGGAUGAAGAUGGUCUCUCUCAAGCAACCCUGCAACCAAAUAACAAAGAGUCUCUUGUGUCCCCAACACACCCAAUACAAUGGUAAAUUGUAUAGGUGCACUAGUUCGGUGAAGAGAUGGUGAUACAAGUGCAAUAUGGAUGGUAGAUAUGAGUAUUUGUAAUCUGAAAAAUAUAAAAACAGCAAGGCAAAAAGUGGUAAAAGUGUAAACCGUAUGGCAAUGCUAGGAAACAAGGCCUAGGGUUCAUACUUUCACUAGUGUAAGUUCUCUCAACAAUACUAACAUAAUUGGAUCAUAUAACUAUCCCUCAACAUGCAACAAAGAGUCACUCCAAAGUCACUAAUAGCAGAGAACAAAGGAAGAGAUUAUUGUAGGGUACGAAACCACCUCAAAGUUAUCCUUUCUGAUCGAUCUAUUCAAGAGUCCUUAGUAAAAUAACAUGAAGCUAUUCUUUUCGUUCGAUCUAUCAUAGAGUUCGUACUAGAAUAACACCCUAAGACACAAAUCAACCAAAACCCUAAUGUCACCUAGAUACUCCAAUGUCACCUCAAGUAUCUGUGGUUAUGAUUAUACGAUAUGCAUCACACAAUCUCAGAUUCAUCUAUUCAACCAACACAAAGUACUUUAAAGAGUGCCCCAAAGUUUCUACCGGAUAGUCAAGACGAAAACGCGUGCCAACCCCUAUGCAUAAGUUCAUUAAACCCGCAAGUUGAUCACAAAUACAUACAUCAAGUAGAUCAUGUGAAUAUCCCAUUGUCACCACAGAUAAGCACGACAAGACAUACAUCAAUUGUUCUCAACUCCUUAAAGACCUAAUCCGACAAGACAACUUCAAGGGGAAAACUCAAUUCAUCACAAGAGAGUAGAGGGGGAGAAACAUCAUAAGAUCCAACUAUAAUAGCAAAGCUCGUGAUACAUCAAGAUCGUAACACCUUAAGAACACGAGAGAGAGAGAGAGAGAUCAAACACAUAGCUACUGGUACAUACCCUCAGCCCAGAGGGUGAACUACUCCCUCCUUGUCAUGGAGAGCGUCGGGAUGAUGAAGAUGGCCACCGGUGAGGGUUCCCCCCUCCGGCAGGGUGCCGGAACAGGGUCCCAAGAGGGUUUUGGUGGCUACAGAGGCUUGCAGCGGCGGAACUCCCGAUCUAUUUGUGCUCUCUUAUAUUUUUUUGGAUAUAUGGACAUAUAUAAGCGAAAGAAGCCGGUUAGGGGAGCCAUGAGGGGCCCACGAGGGUGGGGGGCGCGCCCAGGGGGGUAGGGCGCGCCUCCCUGCCUCUUGGCUUCCUCGAAGCUUCCCCGACGUCUACUCCAAAUCUCCUGGAUUGCUUCCAUUACAAAAAUAACUCUCCCAAAGGUUUCAUUCUGUUUGGACUCCGUUUGAUAUUCCUUUUCUGCGAAACACUGAAAUAGGCAAAAAACAGCAAUUUGGGCUGGGCCUCCGGUUAAUAGGUUUGUCCCGAAAAUAAUAUAAAAGUGUAUAGCAAAGCCCAUAAACAUCCAAAACAGGUAAUAUAAUAGCAUGGAACAAUAAAAAAUUAUAGAUACGUUGGAGACGUAUCAAUCAACUAGUGAAGCAUUGAAGAAAGCCGAACGUGCGCUGCCAUCAUCACUCCUCCCUCGUUGGAGCCGGGCAAAACUUUUUAUAGUAGAGAGUAGUAAAGUCAUCGUGCUAAGGCUACACAGAACAAGCAAACCAGAACAUCAACUGUCGUUGAUGAAUAGAAGUGUAGAUUUGAAGGAUACAACUUGUAGACACAAUAUGAUACAACAAAUACUGGAUCAAAUGGGUCCACCGAAGACCAGCACCGAUCUCCACCAUAGACACCACAAGCUCUCCGACGAUGCUGAUGCAUCAUUGGGACAGGUGUUAGGGUAUAUUUCUUAGAAAACAAUUGUUUUAAACCGACUGAUAACAACCAAACGCAAACCGCAUCUGCUGCGUGACACGUGCCCAUGCGGGCCCUCUGACACGUCUCCAUCGUAUCUACUUUUCCAAACACUUUUGCCCUUGUUUUGGACUCUAACCUGCAUGAUUUGAAUGGAACUAACCCAGACUGAUGCUCUUUUCAGCAGAACUGUCAUGGUGUUAUUUUUGUGCAGAAAUAAAAGUUCUCGAAAUGACCUGGAAAUCCACGGAGCAACUUUUCAGAAUUGAUAAAAAAUACUGGUGAAAGAAUCAGCACCAGGGGGGCCACACCCUAUCCAUGAGGGUGCCCCCCCUAGGGCGCGCCCCCUGCUUCGUGGGCCCCCUAGACCUCCAUCGACCUCAACUCUAACUCCAUAUAUUCACGUUUGCAGAGAAAAAAAAUCAGAGAGAAAGUUUCAUCGCAUUUUACGAUACGGAGCCGCCGCCAAGCCCUAAACUCUCUUGGGAGGGCUGAUCUGGAGUCCGUUCGGGGCUCCAGAGAGGGGGAUUCAUCGUUGUCGUCAUCAUCAACCAUCCUCCAUCAUCCAUUUCAUGAUGCUCACCACCGUGCGUGAGUAAUUCCAUCGUAGGCUUGUGAUAUGUCUCCAACGUAUCUACUUUUCCAAACACUUUUGCCCUUGUUUUGGACUCUAACUUGCAUGAUUUGAAUGAAACUAACCCGGACUGACGCUGUUUUCAGCAGAAUUACCAUGAUGUUGUUUCAUGUGUAGAAAACACAAGUUCUCAGAAUGACCUGAAAAUCCUCGGAGACAAGUUUCAGAAAAUAUAAAAAAUACUGGCGAAGAAUCAAGACCAGGGGGCCCACACCCUGUCCACGAGGGUGGGAGGCGCGCCCACCCCCUCUGGGCACACCCCCCCUGUCUCGUGGCCCCCCUGCAGCUCCGCAGACCUCAACUCCAACUCCAUAUAUUCCGUCUCACGGAUAAAAAAAUUGGAGAGAAAGUUUCAUCACGUUUUACGAUACGGAGCCGCCGCCAAGCCCUAAUCUCUCUCGGGAGGGCUGAUCUGGAGUCCGUUCGGGGCUCCAGAGAGGGGGAUUCGUCGCCAUCAUCAUCAUUAACCAUCCUCCAUCACCAAUUUCAUGAUGCUCACCGCCGUGCGUGAGUAAUUCCAUCGUAGGCUUGCUUAACGGUGAUGGGUUGGAUGAGAUUUACCAUGUAAUCAAGUUAGUUUUGUUAGGGUUUGAUCCCUAGUAUCCACUAUGUUCUGAGAUUGAUGUUGCUAUGACUUUGCUAUGCUUAAUGCUUGUCACUAGGGCCUGAGUGCCAUGAUUUCAGAUCUGAACUUAUUAUGUUUUCAUGAAUAUAUGUGUGUUCUUAAUCCUAUCUUGCAAGUCUAUAGUCACCUAUUAUGUGUUAUGAUCCGACAACCUUAAGUGACAAUAAUCGGGAUACUUGCGGUGAUGACCGUAGUUUGAGGAGUUCAUGUAUUCACCAUGUGUUAAUGCUUUGGUCCGGUUCUCUAUUAAAAGAAGGCCUUAAUAUCCCUUAGUUUCCGCUAGGACCCCGCUGCCACGGGAGGGUAGGACAAAAGAUGUCAUGCAAGUUCUUUUCCAUAAGCACGUAUGACUAUAUUCAGAAUACAUGCCUACAUUAAAUUGAUGAAUUGGUGCUAGUUCUGUGUCACCCUAUGUUAUAUCUAUUACAUGAGGAAUCGCAUCCGACAUAAUUAUCCAUCACUGAUCCAUUGCCUACGAGCUUUUCACAUCUUCUGCUUCUCUUAUUUACUUUUCCGUUGCUACUGUUACAAUCACUACAAAAUCCAAAAAUAUUACUUUUGCUAUCUUUUUAUCUUUACCACUGUCUACUACUUUGCUACUAAAUACCUUGCUGCAGAUACUAAGUUAUCCAGGUAUGGUUGAAUUGACAACUCAACUGCUAAUACUUAAGAAUAUUCUUUGACUCCCCUUGUGUCGAAUCAAUAAAUUUGGGUUGAAUACUCUACCCUCGAAAGCUGUUGCGAUCCCCUACACUUAUGGGUCAUCAAUACUAAUUUCUGGCGCCGUUGCCAGGGAACAUAGCUCUAUUCUCUGAGUCACUUGGGAUUUGAAUCUGUUGAUCACUAUGAAGAACUUGAAAGACGCAAAAACUAAAAUUUAUCCCUCAACUACGAGGGGAGGUAAGGAACUGUCAUCUAGCUCUGCACUAGAUUCUCCUUCUGUUAUGAAUAAGUUUGCGACACCUAAACCUGCUACUGCUAUGAAUUCUGAUAUGUCGCAUGUUAUUGAUGAUGCCACUUCUGCUAUGCAUGAUACUUAUGAUGAAACUACUUCUAUGCUUGAUACUACUGUGCCAUUAGGUGAAUUUCUUAAUGAACAACUUACUAAGGCUAGAGAGAAUGAAAUUACUGAGAAUGAAUUUAUUGAUGAUAGUGAUGAUGAAACUUCUCCGAACGAUUAUGAAUUGCAUGUUGUUCCUGAGGGUUAUGUUAUGGAUGAAGAAACUGCUAGAGAUUUUCUUGCUUGCACUGACAGAUCAAAUCUUAAGAAAUUGUUAGCUAAGCUGAAACAAAAGACUUUAAAUGUUGAAACGAAACAUGAUCCUGCUUUUGCCACUUCACCUAUCUUUGUUACUGAUAAUGAAUAUGAAUUCUCUGUUGAUCCUGAGAUUAUUACUUUAGUUGAAUCCGAUCCUUUCUAUGGCACUGAAUCUGAAACUGUUGUGGCACAUCUUACCAAGUUAAAUGAUAUAGCCACUCUCUUUACUAAUGAUGAGACGUCUCGCUAUUAUUACAUACUUAAGAUAUUUCCGUUCUCAUUAAAGGGUGAUGCUAAAACUUGGUUUAAUUCUCUUGAUACUAGUUGUGUGCGUAGUCCCCAGGAUAUGAUUUAUUAUUUCUCUGCUAAAUAUUUCCUUGCUCAUAAGAAACAAGCUGCCUUACGGGAAAUAUAUAAUUUUGUGCAAAUCUAAGAAGAGAGUCUCCCACAAGCUUGGGGAGGCUUCUCGGAUUACUUAAUGCUUUGCCUGAUCAUCCACUUAAGAAAAAUGAAAUACUUGAUAUCUUCUAUAAUGGACUAACUGAUGCUUGCAAGGACCACUUGGAUAGUUGUGCUAGUUGGGUUUUCAGGGAAAGAACAGUCGACGAAGCUGAAUUAUUAUUGAACAAUAUGUUGACUAAUGAGAAUAAUUGGACUCUUCCUGAGCCAAUUUCUGAGCCAAUUCCUGAGGCAAUUCCUGAACUAAUUGAGCCGACUCCUGAGCCUAUUCCUAAACCUACUCCGAAGAAGAGAGGUGUUCUAUUUCUUAGUCCUGAAGAUAUGCAAGAGGCAAAGAAAUCAAUGAAAGAGAAAGGUAUUAAAGCUGAAGAUGUUAAGAAUUUACCUCCUAUUGAAGAAAUACAUGGUCUUAAUAUACCGCUUGUUGAAGAAUCACAUCAUCUUGAUAACUCAACACAGGUAGUAAAGGUAAAUUCUCGCUAUAGAUAUGAUAAGGAUGAAAUCCCAUCUACUAAUUUCAAAGUCCAUGCUUAGAUGAAUUUGAUGAUUUCAUGAAUAGACAAGCAAAUUUCAAUGAUUAUGUUGGUAGACAAUUGAAGAAUAAUGCUUAUAUGAUAGGACGCUUCAAUGAUUAUAUAGCUAGAGUUAAAGGUGAACUUAAACUCACUAGUAAACAUGCUUCUAUGGUUGCUACUCAAGCUGAACAAGUACUUAAAGCUCAGAAUGAAUUGCUAGUUGAACUAAAUAAUAAACAUGACUUUGCUGUUAGAAUGGCUACUAGAACUGGUAAAAUGACUCAGGAACCUUUGUAUCCUGAAGGCCACCCUAAGAGAAUUGAACAAGAUUCUCAGAAUAAUAAUCUAGAUGCUCCUAGUUCUUCUAAGAAGAAGAAAAAGAAAAAUGAUAGGACUUUGCAUGCUUCUAGUGAACCUAAUGUAGAAACACCUGAGAAUUCUAAUAAUACUUCUAUCUCUGAUGCUGAAACACAAUCCGGAGAUGAACGUGAACCUGAUGAUAAUGCUAAUAAUGAUGUUCAUGUAGAUGCUCAACCUAGUAAUAAAAAUGAUAAAGAAACUGAACCUGAUGUUGGUCUUGCUAACCCACAAUCAAGAAACCAACAUUAUGAUAAGAGAGAUUUUGUUGCUAGGAAGCAUGGUAGAGAAAGAGAACCAUGGGUUUAGAAACCCAUGCCCUUUCCACCUAAACCAUCCAAGACAAAGGAUGAUGAGGACUUUGAGUGUUUUGCUGAAAUGAUUAGACCUAUUUUCUUAUGCAUGCGCUUAACUGAUAUGCUUAAAACAAACCCUUAUUCUAAAUAUAUGAAAGAUAUCAUCACUAAUAAGAGGAAAAUACAUGAAGCUGAUAUUUCCACCAUGCUUGCCAACUAUACCUUUAAGGGUGGAAUACCUAAGAAACUUGGUGAUCUCGGAGUACCCACUAUACCUUGCUCUAUUAAGAAAAAUUAUGUUAAAACUGCUUUAUGUGAUUUAGGAGCCGGUGUUAGUGUUAUGCCUCUUUCCUUGUACCAUAGACUUGAAUUACGUAAGUUGACACCCACCGAGAUAUCCUUGCAAAUGGCUGAUAAAUCAACCGCUAUACCUGUCGGCAUUUGUGAGGACGUGCCUGUUGUUGUUGCGAACGUUACUAUCUUAAUAGACUUUGUCAUUCUUGAUAUUCCUGAGGACGACAGUAUGUCGAUUAUCCUCGGUAGACCCAUUUUAAAUACUGCAGGUGCUGUUAUUGAUUGCAACAAAGGCAAUCUCACCUUUCAUGUUAAUGGAAAUGAGCAUACGGUACAUUUUCCGAGGAAACAACCUCAAGUUCAUAGCAUAAAUACUAUUGAGAAAAUUCCAUCAAUCAUUAUUGGAGGUUUCGAAUUUCCUCUCCCUACUAUCAAGAAAAAGUAUGAUGUUCUUAUUGUUGGGGAUGUUCAUAUCCCCAUUGAGGUAACCUAGUGUCACUUUGAAAUUUCUCCGGUUUCGUGUUAUUCAGAAUGAGUUUGUUAACAAGACUUGAUCAACCUUGUUAGUGGAUUCAUUUUGAUGAUCAUGAGAUGGAUGAAACUAGAAGGCACAACCUUCUGUACUUUCUUUUUUACUUUCUGUAAUUUAAAAUAAAUAAAGCAAAAAUAGUAUUAUCUAUCUGUUUUCUGAAUUAUCCGUGCAAUAAAAAUUAUCUCAAAAAUAAAAGUGCUCCAAAUGCCCUGCAAAUUUAGUAUUAUUUUUUAUGGAAUAUUUGAGGAUUUUAGGCACUGAAAUCACUGUAGGAGGGGCAAGCACCAGGCCACGAGAGUGGAGGGCGCGCCCACCAUCCCUGGGCGUGCCCCCCUGUCUCGUGGGCCCCUGGUGGCCCCCUCCACUUAUGCUAGCACCCACACACUCCAUCUUCUUCCCAAAAAAAUCCCCAUCCAGCUGAAGCACGAGUUCUAGCUCAUUUUGCUGCGAUUUUCGAUCUCCUUGCUCAAAGCUCCAUUCACAAAACUGCUUUGGGAGAUUGUUGCUUGGUAUGUGACUCCUCCAUUGGUCCAAAUAGUUUUUGUUCUAGUGUUUUAUUCAUUGCAAAUCCUUGCUAGAAUUACUGUGGGAGAAUCUAGGGAUAUAGCACAAGCUACCAUAGGGAGCAUUCAUUUUCCUUCUAUACAUUAUUUUGCUCUCUUCAUUGGUAGAUGUAUUAAUGGUAAAGAUGAGGCAUGUCAUAUGUGUUCCCCUGAUCUUUGUGUCCUCAAGAGUGCUGUAUUAACUGAUAAACAAUACAACUUGGGGGCAAUUGUUGCACGUAGAUUGCACCAUAAUGCUUUAGCUGGAGACUUUUUUGGAGGUAUUUAUGCAACCCGUGUGGCUAAUUAUCUUGAGGUACCUAUACAUGAAAAUGAUACAGAGCUGCCUCCCGCUUAUUUAGAUCAUAAUGCCAUGCUUAGUCAUCAUUUCCUUGAGAGGAAGGAACAAUUCCUCCAAUAUCGACUAAUCUUUGACAGACACCGUGCUAUCCAUAUGACUCUCCCUGUUCCUACCCUUUUUGAUUAUCAGGAAAAACGAAGAUAUGUUGUUACCACGGAGGAGGCAGCUGAAUACGAGAGGAGAGCGGAGGCGGCUCGCCAACAUGCCACAGCUCAGGAUGCACUUGCUGCUGCAUCUCAGUACAACCCCAGUUACAACUACGGAUAUCAGCCAGGCUAUCCAUGGCCAUAAACCAACUUAGGUCAAAAGCCUAAGCUUGAGGGAGUACGCAUCUCUCACCGACUUUACAUUCAUGUUCACACACUAUCCUAGUCAUCGAUGCUCAUACUUUUUCAUUGUAUUAUCCAUGCUAGUUUAAUUUUCUUUUUCUAGUUUUCUUCUUGUGUGUUUGAUAAACCUUAAGAAAAACCCAAAAAAUUAGUUAGUUUAAUUUCCAUGCUUAUAGUAGAAAUUAAAUUGAAAACCCCAAAAGAUUUCUCGUUCUUCUUUUACUUGUUGGGAGCUUUCCCGUGUGAAUAGUUUUCUUUUCUUUUCUUUCCUUUGAGGGGUUGAGAGUAGAAGACCAUAUUGAAAAUGUUUAGUGGCUCUCUUAUGCAUGAUUGUUUAUUUAAUUUAGAGCCCAUGUUACCCUGUCUUCUCUCUUGAGUUGAAUGCUUGCAGAUUCCAGCUUAGUCCAAUGCACGCGCACUCUUAUUAUUAUACACAUCGUUCAGUCGUGCGAGUGAAAGGCAAUAAUGACGAUAUAUGAUGAACUGAUUGAGAUGAGAGAAGCUGGUAUGAACUCGACCUCUCUUGUUUUUGUAAAUAUGAUGAGUUCAUCGUUCCUGAUUCAGCUUAUUAUGAAGUAAACAUAUUUGCAAUGACAUUUAGAGAUUAUAGUUGCUUGUGCCAUGCUUGAUUAGCUAUGAGUUAUAAUGGUCUACCUUGCGUGCAAACAUGCUAUUAGAAUGAUUAUGAUGUGAUAUGAUGGGAUGGUAUCCUCCUUUGAAUGAAUUGAGUGACUCGACUUGGCACAUGUUCACGCAUGUAGUUGAAACAAAUCAACAUAGCCUUCACGAUAUUUAUGUUCAUGGUGGAUUAUAUCCUACUCAUGUUUGUAUUCGGUGUGAAUUAGUUUUAAUGCAUGUUUAUGACUGUUGUCGCUCUCUGAGUUGGUCGCUUCCCAGUCUUUUGCUAGCCUUCACCUGUACUAAGCGGGAAUACUGCUUGUGCAUCCAAACUCCUUAAACCCCAAAGUUAUUCCAUAUGAGUCCACCAUACCUUCCUAUAUGCGGUAUCUACCUUCCGUUCCAAGUAAAUUUGUAUGUGCCAAACUCUAAACCUUCAAAUGAAAUUUUGUUUUGUAUGCUCGAGCAGCUCAGGUUUCCACUAGGGCUGCCUAUAUAUUUCAUGCUAGGUGGGUUAUUCUCAAGAGGAGUGGACUCCGCUCCUCAUUCAUGAGAAAGGGCCGGUAACCGGGAUGCCCAGUCCCAUGAUCCAAAAAGAUCAAAGCAAAUCAAUAUAUUUAAACAAAACUCCCACAGGGUUGUUGUUAGUUGGAGGCACUCAUUGUUUCGAGCAAGCCAUGGAUUGAUGCUUGUUGGUGGUGGGGGAGUAUAAACUUUUACCAUUCUGCGUGGGAACUGCCUAUAAUGCAUGUAGUAUGGAAGAUACAUCCAUCUCAUAGUUGUUGCGUUGACAGUGAAAGUAUGCCGCCCAAAAUGUUAUUCAAUCUCUAUUUUAAAAUCGAGCUCUGGCACCUCUACAAAUCCCUGCUUCCCUGUAUGAAGGGCCUAUCUAUUCACUUUUAUGUUGAGUCAUCACCUUCUUAUUAAAAAGCACCCGCUAGAGAGCACACUGUCAUUUGCAUUCAUUAUUGUUGAUUUAUAUUGGGUAUGACUUGAUUGGAUCUCUUUUACUAUGAAUUACAAUGUUUAGUCAGUCCUUGAUCUUUAAAGGUGCUCUGCAUUUAUGUUUUGCGGUCUCAGAAAGGGCUAGCGAGAUACCAUUUUGUUAUAUCAUGUUAUGAUUGUUUUGAGAAAGUGUUGUCAUCCGAGUUUUAUUAUUAUGACUCGCUAACUGACUAUGCUAUUGAUAUGAGUAAUUGUGAGACCGAGGUGUUAUUGUGAGUAUGGUUAGUUUAUAAUAUUUGUUGAAACUUGAAUGCUGGCUUUACAUGUUUACAACAAUAAGAGCAAACAGAGUUUGUAAAAGUUUUUCUUUAUCACUUUCAGUUUAUCAACUGAAUUGCUUGAGGACAAGCAAAGGUUUAAGCUUGAGGGAGUUGAUACGUCUCCAACAUAUCUACUUUUCCAAACACUUUUGCCCUUGUUUUGGACUCUAACUUGCAUGAUUUGAAUGAAACUAACCCGGACUGACGCUAUUUUCAGCAGAAUUACCAUGAUGUUGUUUCAUGUUAGAAAACAAAAGUUCUCGGAAUGACCUGAAAAUCCUCGGAGACAAGUUUCAGAAAAUAUAAAAAAUACUGGCGAAAGAAUCAAGACCAGGGGGCCCACACCCUGUCCACGAGGGGGGGGGGGGGAGGGGGCGCCCACCCACUCUCGGCGCGCCCCCUGUCUCAUGGGCCCCCUGCAGCUCCGCCGACCUCAACUCCAACUCCAUAUAUUCCGUCUCGCGGAGAAAAAAAUCGAAGAGAAAGUUUCAUCGCAUUUUACGAUACGGAGCCACCGCCAAGCCCUAAUCUCUCUCGGAAGGGCUGAUCUGGAGUCCGUUCGGGGCUCCGGAGAGGGGGAUUCGUCGCCAUCGUCAUCAUCAACCAUCCUCCAUCACCAAUUUCAUGAUGCUCACCGUCGUGCGUGAGUAAUUCCAUCGUAGGCUUGCUGGACGGUGAUGGGUUGGAUGAGAUUUACCAUGUAAUCAAGUUAGUUUUGUUAGGGUUUGAUCCCUAGUAUCCACUAUGUUCUGAGAUUGAUGUUGCUAUGACUUUGCUAUGCUUAAUGCUUGUCACUAGGGCCCAAGUGCCAUGAUUUCAGAUCUGAACCUAUUAUGUUUUCAUGAAUAUAUGUGUGUUCUUGAUCCUAUCUUGCAAGCCUAUAGUCACCUAUUAUGUGUUAUGAUCCGACAACCCCGAAGUGACAAUAAUCGGGAUACUUCUCGGUGAUGACCGUAGUUUGAGGAGUUCAUGUAUUCACCAUGUGUUAAUGUUUUGGUCCCGUUCUCUAUUAAAAGGAGGCCUUAAUAUCCCUUAGUUUCCGCUAGGACCCCGCUGCCACGGGUGGAUAGGACAAAAGAUGUCAUGCAAGUUCUUUUCCAUAAGCACGUAUGACUAUAUUCGGAAUACAUGCCUACAUUACAUUGAUGAAUUGGAGCUAGUUUUGUGUCACCCUAUGUUAUAGCUAUUACAUGAGGAAUCGCAUCCGACAUAAUUAUCCAUCACUGAUCCAUUGCCUAUGAGCUUUUCACAUCUUGUGCUUUGCUUAUUUACUCUUCCGUUGCUACUAUUACAAUCACUACAAAACCCAAAAAUAUUACUUUUGCUAUCAUUAUAUUUACCACUGUCACCAUUACUAUCAUACUACUUUGCUACUAAAUACCUUGCUGCAGAUACUAAGUUAUCCAGGUGUGGUUGAAUUGACAACUCAACUGCUAAUACUCAAGAAUAUUAUUUGGCUCCCCUUGUGUCGAAUCAAUAAAUUUGGGUUGAAUACUCUACCCUCGAAAGCUGUUGCGAUCCCCUACACUUGUGGGUCAUCAACUUGCUGGACGGUGAUGGGUUGGAUGAUAUUUACCAUGUAAUCAAGUUAAUUUUGUUAGGGUUUGAUCCCUAGUAUCCACUAUGUUCUGAGAUUGAUGUUGCUAUGACUUUGCUAUGCUUAAUGCUUGUCACUAGGGCCCAAGUGCCAUGAUUUCAGAUCUGAACCUAUUAUGUUUUCAUGAAUAUAUAUGAGCUCUCGAUCCUAUCUUGCGAGUCUAUAGUCACCUAUUAUGUGUUAUGAUCUGACAACCCCGAAGUGACAAUAAUCGGGAUACUUCUCGGUGAUGACCAUAGUUUGAGGAGUUCAUGUAUUCACUAAGUGUUAACACUUUGGUUCGGUACUCUAUUAAAAGGAGGCCUUAAUAUCCCUUAGUUUCCAAUAGCACCCUGCUGCCACGGGAGGGUAGGACAAAAGAUGUCAUGCAAGUUCCUUUCCAUAAGCACGUAUGACUAUAUUCAGAAUACAUGCCUACAUUACAUUGAUGAAUUUGAGCUAGUUCUGUGUCACCCUAUGUUAUUAUUACAUGAGGAAUCGCAUCCGACAUAAUUAUCCAUCACUGAUCCAAUGCCUACGAGCUUUUCACAUAUUUCUCUUUGCUUAUUUACUUUACCAUUGCUGCUGUUACAAUCACUACAAAACUACUACUGUUACUUUUGCUACUAUUACCAUUAAUUCCAUACUACUUUGCUACUAAAUACUUUGUUGCAGAUACUAAGUUAUCCAGGUGUGGUUGAAUUGACAACUCAACUGCUAAUACUUGAGAAUAUUCUUUGGCUCCCCUUGUGUCGAAUCAAUAAAUUUGGGUUGAAUACUCUACCCUCGAAAACUGUUGCGAUCCCCUAUACUUGUGGGUUAUCAAGAUUAUUUUCUGGCGCCAUUCUCGGGGAGUAUAGCUCUAUUCUUUGAGUCACUUAGGAUUUAUAUCUGCUGGUCACUAUGAGGAACCCUUGAAAGAUGAAAGAACUAAGAUUUAUCCCUCAACUACGAGGGGAGGUAAGGAACUGCCAUCUAGCUCUGAACUAGAUUCUCCUUCUGUUAUGAGUAAGCUUGCGACACCUAAACCUGCUUCUGCUAUGAAUUCUGAUAUGUCGCAUGUUAUUGAUGAUGCCACUUCUACUAUGCAUGAUACUUAUGAUGAAACUACUUCUAUGCUUGAUACCACCGUGCCAUUACGUGAAUAUCUUGAUGAACAACUUGCUAGGGUUAGAGAGAAUGAAACUAUUGAAACUGAUAUUAUUGAUGAUAGUGAUGAUGAAGGUUCUCCCCCUAAAUAUGAAUUGCUUGUUGUUCCUAAGGGUUGUGUUAUGCAUGAAGAAACUUGUCGUGUAAUUGUCACGGCAGAUGUCCUCAAUGUGAGGACUUAGUCGCGAGGCCAACGCAUCUAUAUGGUAGCUUGAGAGGGGUUGGGCGGAAUCGAGAGACGCAACAUAAGACAAGGAUUUAGACAGCUUCGGGCCCCGGGAAACAUCAUCCGGUAAUAACCCUACAUGCUGUUUGUGGCUAGGUCUCAUUAUGAUCAUGACGGAGUCGCCGGUAAGCCGGCUCUUCGUGUCUAGCCCUAGAGAUUGUUUCUUCUUCCUUGCUUGUCCCUCUUGGGGUGCCCUGCCCCUCCUUAUAUAAGUUGAAGGGGCGGGUUACAUGUGGAGUCCUAUUAGGAUUUGGUCUAGUCUAUUACAAGUGGAAUCCUAGUCUGCCCCCUUAAGGGAAAACUCCUUAUGCCUUUCCUCGUAAACUAGUCCUACCAUAACUUGAGCCGGCCUUCUGGGCCUUGGGCUAGUCUUCUAUAUGACCCGCCAUCGGGACCAUUAGUGAGUCGCCGGGCUCGUGAGUUUGUCAGACCAGUGAGUCGCCAAAUGUCAGUAGGGUCUCUGGUGAGCCGCCAAGUCCGGCCGGAUCAAAUUUCCGGCCGGGUCAUACCGCGGGGUAUAUCCCCGACAUUAGCCCCCAGUUUAAUUUGGAUUUAUCCAUGUUAAACUGAUCCUGUAAAAUAAACAUAAGAACAUGCUUGAUAGGUUGUGCUCCGGGUUAAAUAUUCUUGUAAGACGGCACCUGAUCAUCCUUAAUUCCUUGAAAUUUCCCCUUGGAUGCGUGUUCAUGAUCUCAUAGCAAAUCUCCUUUAGCAGAUGUGCUUAAACAUUACCAAUGCAAAAAAUCCAGGUACUUCUUCUGAAAAAUCUGGGUUAAUAUGCCAGCUUCAUAAUCAAUUUGCUGACAUUGGUUUCUUGUAGAGAAAUACUAUAACAAAUAAUCCAUUUGAGUCGGUUUCCAAAGCUCUGGCUUAAUAAACAUAUUGGACUCAAGAUUCAUCUGGUGAUCCGCCGGUUUAAGGACAUAGAGGCUGGUGAGUUAUAAUUGCCAAAAUUGCCGGGUUAUAAACAAAUGGUGCCGGGUCAUGUAAUUGUUGCUGAUGCCGAGUUAAUCUUAUGAUGACGCUGGGUCAUAAACUUUGCAGAUUUCUCCGCUAAUAAUAUAAUACCUGAUUUGCUCAAAACUGAGAAUUUGAAGUUAUUCCUCCCUUAUAUGCAUAUCACCUGUAGCCCCCAAGUGUCGGGUUGUCAUGCUUGUAGCAACCUGGGACUUGUAAUUGCCUUAUGCUCAUAAAAACUUCAACCAGUGUAUCGCCCAAGGGCUGGGUCAUUAUGCAAUAAUGAACAGGGACUUUGUAAAUAUGAUCAUGUAGAUUUGAGCAGCAACGUGUAGCCCCCGAGGGCCGGCUCAGUAAGAUAAUACUGAGCUGGGACUUUGUAUAUAAUUUAUUGAUAAUAACAUCAUAUAAUAUAAUCUCCACCAUGGGGCUUGAACCCACAUCCAAAAGGUUAAGAGCUUUAUACUCUACAACUGAGUAGUGGACCAUUCAAUAUAAUGGAUUAAUGCUUGUGUACCUUGAAUUUUUGACAAGAGCAAUUGGUAGCCUCCAAGGGCCGGCUCAUUACAAUGUGAUGAGUUGGGUCUUCAAUAAUUUGAGCAAAAAAUGAUUUUGCAUUAGCCCCCAAGUGCCAUGGUGCAUGCUGGCAGUGACAUGGGACUUGCAUAUUUGAUAUGAUCUCAAUCUGAAUAAUGUAGCCCCCAAGUGCCGGGUCGUAAGCCCGCAGCGACUCGGGACUAUUCCAUCUAUUGUAGAAUAAAUCAUAUCCAUUGAUAAAAUAAUAGCCAUUGUGCUGAAGCGACUUUAAAGACCUCCAUCAUAAUAUUGAUAACCAUGAUAAAAAAUCCAGCCCUGUUGGCUAUUCAAGAUUUGAAUAAUAUAAUCCGGUAUGAAAAACCUCAAUCAUUCAAUAUCAUCAUGAAAAUCCAGCCAAGUUUUGGCUAUUAGAAAUUUGAAUACCUUAUCGGUUGACAAGUAGAUCCGAAGUUCAAAUAUUUGGCGGCCCUUGGCCGAUGGCGACUUAAUGCGCAUUUUGUAAGCAAGAAUUUCAUAACCCGGCGGCUUAUAGCCUUUGAGAAAACACAGAAUGGAUAAGUUGAAGCAUCAAUUUUGAUAAUGAGCUUGAACUUAACCAUUUAUGUAAGUCAUAUUUCCGCAAAUCCUGCACAGAGUUUAAACAACAUAUGCCCUGGCGACUUAACGUCAAAGCCAGGGCGGGUAACAACCCAAACAUAAUAUAGUCUAUGCAAUUAUGGAAAAGACUAGGAUUAAGGCCAUUCAAGCCUAAACAUACUGGUGACUUAACGUCAAAAGCCAGGGCGGGUUAUCCAACCUUGCAUAUUUAUAUAAUCAGGAAAACAUACCUGUAGAAAUUAUCUCAUACUGCCGGCUUACAUCACUGUAUUAAUAAGGGCAAUAAUCCAAUGAUUGAUAAGCGCAUGAUUCCAAUGGUGCAAUCCAAAAUAUACCGGUGCCUUAAAGUCCAUAGCUAGGGCCGGUUUAAACAUAAUCAUGUAUAAACAAUAUCAUACCCGUGAUAUUGAAUCGUACUGCCGGCUUAUGACACCUGUGUAGUAAGGGUGAUAACCCAAUCUUUAAAAGCCAAAACUUCCAAAUGUUUGAUGAUUGUCAUAUGCUGGCGACUUAUCAUCCAAAGUCAAGCCGGGCGGUUUACCGUAGGGCGGGUCACAAUAUCUCACAUAUAACCACUGUGAUAUUGAAUUUGUACUGCCGGUUUAUGUGACCUGAACAGUAAGGGUGAUAUCCCAAUCUGUGAAGACCAACACUUCCAAAGAUAUGAUGAUUCACAUGUGUUGGCGACUUAUCAUCCAAAAUCAAGCUGGGUUAAACUUAAACCACACUUACACUUAGAUCUUGGAACAAAAAAGUCUCAAGUCAAAUAAAGGUUGUGCUCAAAUAAAACUUAAACCAAACAAGAAGAAACAAUCAAGGCUUCUAAUUUGAAUACGAUCAGUAAACCGCUCCAAAGGGGUUAAGCUAGGAUUCAAAUAUGAUCAUGUAGCCCCCAGUGGCUUUGGCAUUGCGCCGAUCAAGAGGGUACCGACAACUAUGUUCUCUUUGGUUUGAAUACAACCUAUGUUUGAACAGGAAGCCCCCUAAUGAUCUUGAGAGUUUUUUAACGACUCUGAUUCGAAUACGAUCAAAGUCGGUUCCCAAAAGGGGUUAAGCUAUGAUUCGAAUACGAUCAAGAAGCCCCCUAGUGAGCUCGGCAGUGUGCCGAUCAAGAGGGUACCGACAGCUAUGUUCUCUUUGGUUCGAAUACGACCUAUGUUUGAACAGGAAGCCCCUAGUGAUCAUGAGAAUAUUUAACGACUCUGAUUCGAAUACGAUCAGGGUCAGACCCAAAUGGUUAAGCUAAAUUCGAAUACGAUCAGCUCCCAAUGGUCAUUAAAGAAGGGUACCUAUGUUUGAGUUGUGCUUUGUAACAGACUCUCUUUGGCCCCUUUAAUUUUUCCUGAGAACUCGAGCUUUGCGAGAGAUAAAUUCUUUUUGAACCGGAUAUUGAGAGCUUCAAAGCUUUGUAAGAGACAGAUUUCUCUUGAACCGGAUUCUGAACCGGAAUUCUUCAUUUUGAGCCGGAAAUUUUCCGACGGCCUUUAAACUGGCAAUAUUUACUGAGCCAUGUCCAUGUAGCCCCCGAGUCUCAAGGCGGCUCAAGGAGUUGUCUUUGAGAUUCUCCAUAUUUGACCAUAGAAGAAGGUGUAUAUCAUUGGUGUUGAUAGCGCGAUGUGAAUCCACAGAAUGUUGAGGUGACUGCGGCGGGUUAUAAAUGAUGCCGUAUGAGCCGUGUCAGUAACUCGGCCAAUGGUUCCUUCCAACUGGAUGUUUCGAAGUUAACCAAACUGUAGUGGCGGCGACUUGUGCGCCUGCCCAUUGAGCCGUCUAGUGCAGACGGCGGCUGAUAACACAUGAUAAUUUUCCUCCAAGUUGUUGGAAGAAAACUGGGCUUCCCAAGCAGUGACUUGCUCAUAUUCAAUAAUCAUCUCAUGCAGACAGGUGUGGCCCGGUAUGGUGAUAUAGACCAGGCCGCGAGAGACUGACGGUAAAGACGACCAUAGCAUCAAAAGCAGUACAGACAGAUGAGUUGGUCACGACGUUGUAAUCCGGUGUGGACGAGCGAUUCAAUCGCAGGCGCGGUAAACCGCACGGAUUGGCGAGUCAACCACGUCGUGUUGAUGUAGUGAACAAUUGUCCUGUAUUAGAUACAUCGCAAGCCAAAGUAAUUGCUCUUUUUAAAGAAAACAAUAUAUAAUAUAUAAAAUUUACUGGAUUGAUUUCACCUGAUAUGUCAGGCUAGAAAUUAUCCACCAUAGAGUUGAUGAUCAUCACGGUGAAGCUGAAACCAAUCACGUCCGAGUCGGCCGCGGCAUUGUAAGCCAGCGCGGACGGGCGAGUCAAUCGCGGGCGUGGUAAGCCGCAUGGACGGGAGAGUCGGCGCAGGGGCGGACGGGCAAGUUGUCUGUGGCAUUGUAAGGCGGUGCGGAUGGGCGAGUCGGUUGGCAUGUUGAUGUAGACCGGACCGCAGGGGCGGCGGCUUACAGGCUUGUCCGUGAAGUUGCGACACAGACGAACGCCCAUAAAAAUGAUGCUGGCGCAUGCUCCAUAUUCGCAGUAUAUCAACACUUUUGUAACAAAUAAUUUACCUGUGUAUAACAACAAUAUAGGGCAGCGUGGUUGUUUCCAUAAAAAAUUAACAAGUACUGAUAAAAAGUAAACUGGAUGGAUAUCACCUGAUGCUUCGUUGGUCGAAUGCAGACACUGGCAUUCAAUAAUGCUGGACCAGUAUGUCUGUGUCGUUGGAUGUACGACCAACACUCCAAUUUGAACCGUGCGUGAGGUACUGGAGGUGCAUGGAAAGUGAAUAGUAUGCGCAUGUGAUUAGCACUCUGGCCGCAUAAUUCAUGCACGUAGCAGGUUUCCUCCUCCCCCUUUUUUGCAGGCUUCUGCCAGAUUUAGUAUGCAGUACGUGGGUCUGCAAGGCGGACGCUGGCCCAACCUCCAUCGGGGACGCAUGAGACCUGUAUCCACGGAGCGACGUCACUUCGACAGUCAACUGACUGACCGUCACAGUACUUGUUGCAGUCAAUUGUCUCUUCCUUAGACUUCAGCCUGUUUAUUUGGCAGCAGAUGAAAAACUGAUGAUUUCCUAGUUUUCUCGAGACGAAGUAGUGCACGGGCUCCACAUUGGAUCUUGGAGUGUUGAGUACGUAUACCAGUACUAAUAUUAAUCCAUGGUCUUGUCUGCUUUUGUGAAGUAGUACUCACAGUACCUUGAUAUCUCGUAUGCAAUGCUUGAAAAAUCAAUUGAUUCUCGCGAGACGGCUCACAGGCAUGGGCAAGCGAUGACAAUAGAGGCAGGGGCGGCUUGACAAUGGUACGGCGCAGUUCGGAGGCGUACCGGCGACUCGCAGCAACGGCAUACACGGUUGAUGAGGCGAAUCCGUGGGACGGCAGUUCAGGCAGGCGCGAGGGCGCACCAGCGGCAGAAAGGUGGCCAUGUCAGAAGGGCACCGACGACUUGAGGCAGACCAUGGCUUGGCGCUGCUAAGUUUGAGCCGGCGGUGGCUUACAAUAGCGAAGGCGAUUCGUGCGGCAAGGCGGGCAGCGGCUCCCAGCGCGGCGGCUCAGGGCCAUGGGCGCGAGCUCGCGCGAGGGCAGCUCAAGGUGGCCGUGGACCGCAGUGAAUUAAGGCGCCCAUGGGCCGCGGCUACUUGAACCCAUUAGCACUCCGGCAGCCGGCGGAGCAAGUUGAGCAGGGACGGCGUGUUGCAGCGCCUGAAGUGGCCAGUCAUCAGAGGCGGCCGAGGCGGCUUGAGGGCACAAGUGGAAUGUGACGCCGAUCAGUGCGGGGGCGGCUCGAGGAGUAGAGGUAUGGCCGGCCCGUGGCGCUGCCGAGAUGGUGGGUCACAAAGCAGGCCAUAUGUGGAGUACGAGCCCGCGGACCAUCCGUGUCCGCGUCGUAUCCAUCUGAAUUGAAUCCGGUUUGGAGCAGCAAUAUUGAUAGUCUCAGCCAGAUUUUGGUAUAACCCCGGUCACGUAUAUCCUAGACAACCCGUACAGGCAUUGACUUUCAUGGACUUAUCCCAUUGAUUUGCUUUUGCUUGAAAAGAUGCUUUCUAAUCCACCGAUUUUGGCAAACAUGCUCUAUCACGCACAUGCAUGGCUAGUUGUAGUUUCCUCGGGAGCGCUAGCUCUGUCCAAGAGUAUUUCAUGCCAGCUGUCGGCUUAAAGUUUAAUCACACUUUUGAUUACAAACGUUGAAUGCGCUAGCUCUGUCCAAGAGUAUUUCAUGCCAGCUCUUCUUAUCUUGGGCUUACAGCAAAGGCGAGCGGCUUGCGAGGCGACUCAAAGCCGGAGCCAGGCGCGACGAUGGCGGCUCGUAACAAACGCGGGAGGCUCAAGGCCAGAGCGAGAUACGGCAACGGCGGCGGUCAGUUCGGACGGUGACAGCUUGGAGCAGGCGAUGGCGACUCAACGCGCAACCAGAGUCGUCGGAGUCCGUGCUCAUGCUUGGGUCCUUCUCCAAGUCGUGGCCGGAUUGACCAAUCCGUCUCAGUCGUGGUUGAUUUUCGAUUUUGUGUUUAACUGCGCACGUGUGGAUCCGAUCGGCAGCGUGUCUUCCUGACGAAUAGUAGUACACAAGUAACACCGCUCGAUUAAUCUUGACGGGCUAGUUGGCCUGUUUUUGAUCUUCAUCUCGAAUAAACAAUAGCUUUGAUUGACGGCCCUGGACUUGUAGCGCCGUAGCCAAAAAUUCCUUAUCCAUCGACAUGCAUCAUGAUGAAUCGCCCAAGGCCAACUCGGACUCGGCGGAAUAUCCACUGCGCGUGAGGCGGCUGCACAACAAUUAAGCCUAAAAUAGUCUCAAUCUCAUGCCCGCCGUCGCAGCAUACUUUGUUAAUCCUGACCAAUGAACUCAUAGUUAAUGUGAAUUUUUCCACGCCGGCUUGUUGAACUGGAAAAUUUCAAACUUCUCACUCCUUGUGACAGACCCCUUCAAGAACUCAACACCAUCAUGCACAUGCCCCACGGUGGGCGCCAACUGUCGUGGAAUUGUCAUGCCAGAUGUCCUCAGUGUGAGGACUUAGUCGCGAGGCUAACGCAUCUAUGUGGUAGCUUGAGAGGGGUUGGGCGGAAUCGAGAGACGCAACAUAAGACAAGGAUUUAGACAGCUUCGGGCCCCGGGAAACAUCAUCCGGUAAUAACCCUACAUGCUGUGUGUGGCUAGGUCUCAUUAUGAUCAUGAGGGAGUCGCCGUUAAGCCGGCUCUUCGUGUCUAGCCCUACAGAUUGUUUGUUCUUGCUUGCUUGUCCCUCUUGGGGAGCCCUGCCCCUCCUUAUAUAAGUUGAAGGAGCGGGUUACAUGUGGAGUCCUAUUAGGAUUUGGACUAGUCUAUUACAAGUGGAAUCCUAGUCUUCCCCCUUAAGGGAAAAGUAAUUAUGCCUUUCCUCGUAAACUGGUCCUACCAUAACUUGAGCCUGCCUUCUGGGCCUUGGGCCUAGUCUUCUAUAUGACCCGCCAUCGGGGCCAUUAGUGAGUUGUCGGGCUUGUGAGUUUGUCAGACCAGUGAGUCGCCAAAUGUCAGUCGGGUCUCUGGUGAUCCGCCAAGUCCGGCCGGAUCAUAUUUCCGGCCGGGUCAUACCGCGGGUAUAUCCUCGCGAGGCCAACACAUCUAUGUGGUAGCUUGAGAGGGGUUGGGUGGAAUCGAGAGACGCAACAUAAGACAAGGAUUUAGACAGCUUCGGGCGUCGGGAAACAUCAUCUGGUAAUAACCCUACAUGUUGUUUGUGGCUAGGUCUCAUUAUGAUCAUGAGGGAGUCGCCGGUAAGCCGGCUCUUCGUGUCUAGCCCUAUAGAUUUUUUCUUCUUGCUUGCUUGUCCCUCUUGGGGUGCCCUUCCCCUCCUUAUAUAAGUUGAAGCAGCGGGUUACAUGUGGAGUCCUAUUAGGAUUUGGACUAGUCUAUUAUAAGUGGAAUCCUAGGCUGCCCCCUUAAGGGAAAACUUCUUAUGCCUUUCCUCGUAAACUGGUCCUACCAUAACUUGAUCCGGGCUUCUGGGCCUUGGGCCUAGUCUUCUAUAUGACCCGCCAUCGGGGCCAUUAGUGAGUCGCCGGGCUUGUGAGUUUGUCAGACCAGUGAGUCGCCAAAUGUCAGUCAGGUCUCUGGUGAGCCGCCAAGUCCGGCCGGAUCAUAUUUCCGGUUGGGUCAUACCGCGGCGUAUAUCCCCGACAAAACUGCUAGAGAUUUUCUUGCUUGCAAUGAUAGGUCUGAUCUUAAGAAGUUAUUAGCUAAACUGAAACAGAAAUCUCUGAAUGCUAGAAUGAAAUAUGACCCUGCUUUUCCUACUUCACCUAUCUUUGUUACUGAUAAGGAUUAUGAUUUCUUUGUCGAUCCUGAGAUAAUUAGUUUGGUUGAAUUUGAUCCUUUUUAUGGCUAUGAAUCUGAAACUGUUGUGGCACAUCUUACUGAAUUGAAUGAUAUAGCCACCCUGUUCACUAAUGAUGAGAAAUCUCGCUACUACUAUAUCCUUAAGAUAUUUCCGUUCUCAUUAAGGGGUGAUGCUAAAACUUGGUUUAAUUCUCUUGAUCAUGGUUGUGUGCAUAGUCCCCAGGAUAUGAUUUAUUAUUUCUCUGCUAAAUAUUUCUCUGCUCAUAAGAAACAACCUGCCUUGAGGGAAAUAUAUAAUUUUGUGCAAUAUGAAGAAGAGAGUCUCCCCCAAGCUUGGGGGAGGCUUAUCCGAUUACUUAAUGCUUUGCCUGAUCAUCCUCUUAAGAAAAAUGAAAUACUUGAUAUCAUUUAUAAUGGACUAACUGAUGCUUCCAAAGACCACUUGGAUAGUUGUGCUGGUUGUGUUUUCAGGGAAAGAACAGUCGAUCAAGCUGAAUUGCUAUUGAAUAAUAUAUUGACUAAUGAAAACAAUUGGACACUUCCUGAGCCAACUCAUGACCAAAUUUUUGAGCCAACUCCUAAACCAACUCCGAAGAAAAGGGGUGUUCUGUUUCUCAGUCCUGAAGAUAUGCAAGAGGCAAAGAAAUCUAUGAAAGAAAAAGGUAUUAAAGCUGAAGAUGUUAAGAAUUUACCUCCUAUUGAAAAAAAAUACUUGGCCUUAAUGUACUACCUAUUGAAGAAACACAUGGUCUUGAUAACCCGACACAGGUAGUAAAGGUAAAUUCUCUCUAUAGAUAUGAUAAAGUUGAAAUCCCGUCUACUAAGUUUGCUAGCCAAUGCUUGAAUGAAUUUGAUGACUUUAUGGCUAGAUAAGAAAACUUCAAUGCUUAUGUUGGUAGACAAUUGAAACAAAAUGCUUAUAUGAUUGGAUACUUGAGUGAUUAUAUGGCUAGAGUUAAAGGUGAAUUUAAACUGAUUAGCAAACAUGCUUCUAUGGUUAACACUCAAGCAGAACAAGUGCUUAAGGCUCAGAAUGAUUUACUCAAUGAAUUAAAUAAUAAACAUGACUUUGCUGUUAGAGUGGCUACUAAAAUGGGUAAAAUGACUCAGGAACCUUUGUAUCCUGAAGGCCACCCUAAGAGAAUUGAGCAAGAUUCUCAGAGAAAUAAUGUAGAUGCACCUAGUCCUUCUAAAAAGAAGAAAAAGAAAAAUGAUAGGACUUUGCAUGCUCCUAGUGAACCUGUUGUAGACACACCUGAGAAUCCCAAUGAUAUUUCUAUUUCUGAUGCUGAAACACAAUUUGGUGAUGAACAUGAAACUAGUGAUAAUGUUAAUGAUAAUGUUCAUGUUGAUGCUCAACCUAGCAAUAAUAGUGAUAUAGAGAUUGAACCUGAUGUUGAUCUUGAUAACCCACAAUCAAAGAAUCAACAUUAUGAUAAGAGAGACUUCGUUGCUAGGAAGCACGGUAGAGAAAGAGAACCAUGGGUUCAGAAACCCAUGCAUUUUCCUCCUAAACCAUCCAAGAAAAAGGAUGAUGAGGAUUUUGAGCACUUUGCUGAAAUGAUUAGACCUAUCUUUUUGCGUAUGAGUUUGACUGAUAUGCUUAAAGUAAAUCCUUAUGCUAAGUACGUGAAAGAUAUUAUACAAAUAAAAGAAAGAUACCGGAAGCUGAAAUUUCCACCAUGCUUGCUAAUUAUACUUUUAAAGGUGGAAUACCAAAGAAACUUGGAGAUCCAGGAGUACCAACUAUACCAUGCUCCAAUAAAAGAAACUAUGUUAAAACUGCUUUAUGUGAUCUUGGAGCUGGUAUUAGUGUUAUGCCUCUCUCUUUGUAUCGUAGACUUGAAUUGAAUAAGUUGACACCUACUGAAAUAUCUUUGCAAAUGGCUGAUAAAUCAACUCCUAUACCUAUCGGUAUUUGUGAGGAUGUGCCUAUUGUGGUUGCAAACGUUACUAUCUUAACGGGCUUUGUUAUUCUUGAUAUUCCCGAGGACGAUAGUAUGUCGAUUAUCCUUGGUAGACCGUUUUUGAAUACUGCAAAGGCUGUUAUUGAUUGCAACAGAGGCAAUGUCACAUUUCAUGUUAAUGGUAAUGAGCAUACGGUACACUUUCCGAGGAAACAACCUCAAGUUCACAGUAUCAAUUCUAUUGGAAAAAUUCCGUCAAUUAUUAUUGGAGGUUUUGAAAGAAAUAUGAUAUUCUUAUUAUGUGGGAUGUGCAUAUCCCCAUUGAGGUAACCUAGUGUUAUUCGAAAUUUCUCUGGUUCCAUGUUAUUCGGAAUGAGUUUGUUAACAAGACUUGAUCAACCUUGUUAGUGGAUUCCUUUUGAUGAUCAUGAGAUGGAUGAAGUUAGAAAGCACAAACUUCUGUACCCUUCUUUCACUUUCUGUUAUUUAGAUUAAAUAAAGUAAAAAUAGUAUUUUCUGUCUAUUUUGUGAAUUAUCCAUGCAAUAAAAAAUACCCUGAAAAUAAAAGUUCUCCAAAUGCCCUGCAAAUUUAAUAUGAUUUUUUCUAGAACAUUUGAGAAUAUAUGGCCACGAGGGUCAGGGGUGCGCCCUACCCCUCUGGGCGCCCCCCUGCCUCAUGAGCCCAUAGUGCCCCCCUCAACUUAUUCAUGCACCCACACACUUCCUCUUCCUCCCAAAAAAAUCACUAUCCAGCUCAAGCACGAGUUCUAGCUCAUUUUGCUGCCAUUUUCGAUCUCCUUGCUCAAAGCUCCAUUCACAAAACUGCUUGGGGGGAUUGUUCUUUGGUAUGUGACUCCUCCAAUGGUCCAAUUAGUUUUUGUUCUAGUGCUUUAUUCAUUGCAAAUUUUUGCUGCCUAGGUGACCCUGUUCUUGAGCUUGCAUGUCAAUUUUUUAUGGUCCCAAGUAGUUCUAAUGCAUGAUAUAGUCUCUAGGCACUUGUGGGAGUAGUUGCUAUCAAUUUUGUUGAGUUUGGUUCACUUUUAUUUUGUGUUACUAAAAAUUUCAGAAAUUUUCAGAGAAUGAUGAAGAGAUUUUUGAGGGGCUCUUCUAGCCAAAGCUCGAAGGAGAAUAAAAAGCCCAAGUAUAAUCUCCCUCGCGUCACGGAAGUUCGGCCGUGUGAAUGGCCUUGCGAUGAGUUCUUGAGAGCAGCCGGGAUACAUGAAGAUUUUUAUUCUUUGGCUAAUGAUGCGGGCCUCACCGACUUCCUCCACGACCAGAUCGAACAGUAUCUCUUACUCACCAAUACUUUCGUGCAAAAAUUUUACUUUCAUCCUAAGAAAUUACCUCCUUCAAUAGAUUUUCAUUUAUAUGAUGAGGCUAGGGAGAUGUCACUAUGUGAAUUUUGUGCGGUUUGGAAGAUACCCUUCGAGGGCAGCCUAGAGGAACCACAUCGUAAAGAUGUGGAUGGAUUUAUUGAUAUGAUCAUGUAGGGGAAACGAGGAAGGUUUCCGAUGCAAGAAUUACUAGCAUACACUUUCCUGUUCUACGUUACUUUGCAAUAUUUGCUAGUAGAUGCUUAAUUGGUCGCGGAAACUGCGGAAACCUCAGUGUUCCUGAUAUUAUUAUUUUGUUCCAUGCUUUAUUUCAUGAUAACUUUGUUAGUAUGGGCUCUAUUGUUGCUAAAAGAUUAAGCCUGGACCGUACAAAGGGCCCCAUCUUUGGAGGCAUCUAUGCUUCACGCCUUACUAAAUACUUCAGGAUACCUAUUAGGCAUUAUGAUAAAGAAGAAAAGUUGUUGCCCCUACCUUUCUAGAUUAUAAGAUCAUGGUAGCGCAUGAGUUUAUUGUUAAAAAUGAUGAGAAGAUGCUUAAGUAUAAUUUGAGAUUUCAUAAGAAACACAGUGAGACUAUUAUUUUGCCUGCACCCUAGUUUAACUUAACUGCAGGCACAUAUCUCGUCUUGCCGGAGGCUGUUUACGCGUACCGGGGCCAGACAUCAGCUCCAGAGUCUGAGCCGGAACCACCACUUGACCCUUAUCAUCCAUCCUUUUAUCAGUGGGAUCCGGAGGAAAUUGCCAGCAAGUGGCAGUCAGACAACACUCCUCAGUACACCGGAGAGAGUAGCCGCGAUCCAUGGGCAUAGACCAACUUAGGCCAAAAUCCUAAGCUUGGGGGAGUACGUAUUUCUCACCGACAUUACAUUCAUGUUCACACACUCAUUCUAGUUGUCGGUGCUCAUACUUUUUCAUUGUACUAUCCAUGCUAGUUGACUUUCUUUUCCUGUUUUCUUCUUGUGUAUUUGAAUAACCUUAAGAAAAAACAAAAAAAA
RNAcentral lists this long non-coding RNA (55151 nucleotides) under Triticum aestivum (bread wheat). RNAcentral describes it as "long non-coding RNA (TAES_LNC006792)". The record is from RNAcentral. Lineage: Eukaryota; Viridiplantae; Streptophyta; Magnoliopsida; Poales; Poaceae.